UUUUCAUGAUUUAUGUGAAUUGAAGUUCAUGAUUAUGUGUUGUUGAGUUUUAAUUCAUGAUUUAGACUGCAAGGUUCAAGAAUUGAUUCUAGUAUGUGGUGAAUUUCAUGAUAUUCAUAAUAAACCCUACAAGAUGGAUGUUGAUUGAUGUAACUAUGUUAAUUGAGUGUGUUGAAUGUUGUAUGACCAAAGUAUGCUCCCCAUAUGUUUGAUAAAAUGCUUAUAUGACGGAAAUAGAGCCAUUAUAGCAUGUUGACAAGAAAUCCCCAAUUGUGUAUAAGUUAAUGCAUGCCAAGUGUUUGUUGAAAGGCCUUAGUGAAUGAAUUAUGAUAUGUUGCAUGCAUUCCUUAUUGAAUGAAUUAUGAGAUAAUAGUAUGCACUCCCUAUACAUUUACAUGUUUAAGACUUCCAAGUGCUUGAAGAGAUGCCUCAUUGAUUGUGUUGUGAAUGACAGCCUAUUGCCAUGUUAUGUAUGAGUUGUCCUGUCUUGUAUUAUUUAUGUUAUCGAGUCCUGGGGGUAUCUAUACCCUACAAAUUAGUUGCUUGUCUAGAGCCAGUGUCAGUUUCACGAUAAUCUCAGUCAUGCCAUGAUUAGUAGUACUCUCAGUCAGUUACAGAACUCAGUAGAACUCAGAUAGUUACAGAACUUGGGAAAUCUCAGUAAUCUCAGUAUCAGUAGCAUUCCAGCUUCAGUUCAGUAAUCAAUUCAGAACUCAGUAAUAUUCCGCCAGUCAACGGAACUCAGUGAAUCCAGUUUAGCUUAGUCAAACAAGUACGAUCAGUAACAGUUCAGUCAAGCUUAGUAUGAUCUAAGAAAUCAGUUCAAUGUCUUUCAGUUGGGAGUAGGAUUCAGCACCGAGCGAACCUAGGGAUGGGGGCUCACCCGCUAGAUAGGACUGAGAUCCCUAGAAGCAAUUCCUAAGUUCCAGAACUACAUAGCCAGCGUAGGCAUGAGAUGUCACCCGUUAGAUAGGACUGACAUACUCCGGGAUCACCCGCUAGAAUAGGACUGAUCUCAGAGGUCACCCGCUAGAUUAGGACUGACCCCAUAGCAAUUGUCUUUACCCGUGGCACAAUACUGACACCCUUCUAGCUGGGGUUACAGGUUGGACCCCACUAAUUCAGAUUCGAGGCAUGUCGGUUAGAUGACUACAUCCCACAGUCUCAUUUUUAGAAUCAGUCUCAGUAAAAGAACUCAGCUCAGUAGCUCAGAUCCAGGACUGUUAGAUACAGUCACUCAUUAGCAUUAUCAGUGGACUCAGAGAUCACCCGCUAGAUAGGAUUGAUCUCAAAUACAGUCAAUUAGUAUCAAGUACCAACAGAUUCAGAGAUCACCCAUUAGAUACGACUGAUCUCAGAUACAGUUAAUCAGUUUUAGUAACCUCAAAUAUCAAUAUCAGUAGAUUCAGUUAUUCAGUAUCCCAGCAUUAGUAAACUCAGAUGUCAGUAAAUCAGCAUUCGGGACUCGGUAUUCAAUCACUACGAUUUCAGUUAUAGUUUAUGCAUUCAUGCAUGAAUCCUCAUUCAGCAUACUCAGAUUAUUUAGUCAGUAUAGUUCAUGCAUAUGAGCCCUUGCAUUCAGCCUUACCCCAUCUAGCAUACCAGUACAUUCUCACGUACUGACGCAUACUUUUCUUUUGCGCUAUGGUGUCUUAUACCAUAGGUUCAGAAGCACGGGAUCUCGAGCACCCUUAGCAGUUCAGACUCAGUCAGCAGCAGCAGACUUAGCAGUGAGUCCUCAUCAUUCGAGGAUGGUUCUAUUAUUUCAUUAUAUUGCAUUAGAUUCAGUAUUCUUCAGUAGAUGGAGUUAGUUGGGGGAUUGUCCCAUCAAAUCCACAGUUCAGACAGUUUAGAGGCUUUCAGACAAGUUGUUCAGACAGUUGUUUUAGUUUUGAUAUUGUUAAACUUUAUUCAGUUUUAUUUUAGUAUUGAACCUUAUGGAAAGUUUCCGCCAGUUUUCCGCAUUUUUCAGUAUAUUAUGCAGUGCUCAGUUACAGGUAUCAAUUAAGGUUUAGCUUGUGAUCCUUCGGAAUUAUGAGCACCGUGUAGCAUCCGGGGUACUAGACUCGGGGUGUUAUAGCCUACCAGAACCUUCUACUUCUAUGGUGUUCUUUCCUUUAACAUUCACAUGGAUUCCAAGAUAUUACCCUUUUAAGAUAAUUUAUUACACCUUUUAAGAUAAUUUUUCACGACGUUAUGCCACGUUCACCUUGUUCCUUUUAGCAUAUUUAUCAUUAUAGUAUCACAACGCUUGACAAAAAUAAUGUGCAUUUUGGCACUCUAGGACAUAGCUAUGUCAUUUCUCAGCAAGCUAGCUCACCCCUAGGCUACAAGCUUGAAUGCUAUAAAACAACAACAUCACACCCAGUAUAGCAAGUGGGGUCUGGGAGAGUGGUAUGUACGCAAACCUUACCCCUACCUUACGAGUUAGACAGGUUGCUUCCGGUAGAACAAGCUGAAUGCUAUACAUUUCAAGCAAACUUCUCAUAUUCUACCCCCUAUAAUUAGUUUUUGUAUCUUAUGUCAAUGAGAUUGAAUCUAAUUUUUUCUACUUUUUUGACUGUAUCUCCAUUGUACCAAGCCAUCCGCAUAUAUACUACAAUCAACAAAUCUUAAAUAGUGAAUCAUUAACAUACAUUUACACUCUGCAAAAAGAGAGGUUCUUACUUGGAAGAAAACUUUAAGGAACCUUAAGCUGAUAUAAGCAGCUGAAUUUUGAGAUUGUCAUUAGAUAAUAGUCACUGCUCAUGUAAACAUUAUAUCUCAAGUUAGUUAAUUAAAUGAGUCCUUAAAGCAAGAAAAGAAAACUUAUCCCAUCAAAUGUGACAGAAAAACGUGGAAAAGACACAGCAUGUGUAGCUUAUCUAUUGAGUACAGGACAUUAUAGCAAUGCCUCAGCAUGCACAGGUUAUCUAUUAGUGGUAUCCCAGACAAAUAUAAAGAACUUAACAACAUCUAACCAUUUCAAGCUUAUCUAGAAACUCAGUCUCGUCCUCAUCCAAGGCUUUGGGUGGUCCUGCAAGAACAUUAGGAGAUACAUUUCCAACCAAUUGUAAGUAAAUUGUAUAAAGAAAAUGAAUAAUCGUAAGGCGUUACACAAGAAACCAAAAAAAAAGAGAACCUCGAUUACUCACGGUGUUUAAAUCGUUCAUUAAAUUCAGCAUCUUUUUUGUCCUUGUUCUCCUUCAAGAUCUGUGGUUUCAAUAAAAAUUACAACUCAAACAGAAGAUUUGAAAUUUGAGUGCACAUACAUACCACAAAGUAGAACACAUGACCCAGAGCUACUUUCACACAAAAGACCGAAACUCGAAAGGAUAGUCGGUGAAAAGGAAAACUAACAAACAUUGUAUUGUUAUUCAAUUAACUGAGCGUUAGAUACCAAUUACUAAAAUAUUUGCCCCAAGACCAAGUUUCCCGUGACAUUUAUACUAGGAAAUCUCGAUACAGUAUGUACGUAUCCCGCAAGGAUACAUGCACUUUCUUGCUUAAGUUUAGUGUAUCUUGAAGAAUUAACACAAAUUUCACAAGUAUCCACACACAUUUGGGAUGAGUAAAAUAAAGAAAACAUGUAACGUGCUCCCUUAGUUUAAUUUGUUUGUCUGGUUUUGACUUGGCAUGGAGUUUAGAAAGUAAAAAAGACUUUUGAAUCUAAUAAUCUUAAACUAAAAUAUGUAGAUUAUACCAAAAUGACCUUUAAUCUCGUAAUCAUAACCACGUAAUGUGGAAAGAACUAACAGAAACAAAACUACAUAUUUUUUGAACGGAGUAAAAAGGAAAAAGUAAUAGAAAAAAAAAAUGAUAAUAAUAUGUAGAUGGGAAGCAGAUAGAGGAAGAAAACAGAAUUAGGUAGGACCUCAAAAAGAGGGCGAUCUCUCUGAGCAGUUCCGUCUUCAACCCGAGCACCUCGAGUGUUCUUCAGUUGUGCCAACUACAAAACAAACAAACAAACAAAACGGGGUUAGGUUUUCUUGUUCUUCGGAGACAAAAUUCAUCAACCGCACGGGAGGUGGGAAAUCUUCGUCCGCCAUAAUUGAGCUGUUCAAUGAACUGUGUGUUUUCCCCUUUCUUGUCCAAUUUCAAUCCCUAAUUGGACCUCUUUUUUAACUCUUUAGUUUGCUAAUGAUGGAAGAGAAAAUGAGAAAUCAAUGAGAAAUCAAUAAUCAUACUUAUGUUCUUUUUAUUUCUCAUUCGGCAUCUUAUAUUUAUAUAUUGAUAUUGAAACUCCAUCAAUCUGUAUUUUUAACUGCGGUGGAUUCAUUCCCGAGAAAACUCUGGAGUCUCGAUCAAUAAUCAUAUUACUAAAGUAAUACUUUUCUUUGUAUUUUUAGUAAAAACUUACAUAUACGCAUUAUUUAUUAAAAAAUAAAAUAAAUAUUAUUCAACUAUAAUUAAAUGAUAAAUUUUUAUACUUGAAGUGGAUUCAGAAUUACAUUGAAUGGGUCAAUUUUGCAUUAAACCCCUAAUAUUGUUAAACUAUGAAUUUGGAUCUAUUUAUUAAAAUUUUAAUAGGUUUUUAAAUGUAAUUGAAGUGCCACAGCCCCUCUGUAGUAAUGUAAGCUAAAAACAACUUAAACUAAACAAUAUAGUUUAUUAGAUAAACAACUUUGGGUCACAUUGUUGUUACCGUUAAUCAAAGUUAACUUCAACUUCAAAAAUUUUAAAUAAAGUGAUAUUUCUUUUUAUAUUUUUAUGGCCAAACACUACUAAGUUUACUUAAUUUUUAUAUGGUGAUUUAUCCUAUUAAUCUUUUAAAGAGGUGACAAAUGGAGUACAAAAUAGAUUGUGCAUCUGUCAUGUGACCCAUUGAUCUUGUCGUGUUACCCAUUGAUCCUAAGUAAUAUCUUGUGUUACCAAUUGAUCCCAAGUAAUAUCUUUACACAAAGUAAAUUUUUUUUAAAAAAAAAAGGUUUGAUUUAUUUAUUUCUCAAAUUUGUACUCGUUAACAACUUAAAAACAUGGAACAUUAUUUUUUUGUUUCUCAACAUUCAAUUAUCUGCGACGCAAUUCAUGUCUAAAUUACUAUCACACCUUAUCAUUUUUGAUGGUUUGAACUGCACAAACAAAAUUAAGGGAACAGCCCAAAGAAAUACUAUCAAGGAAAAAUGGUAAAGAGAGAACCAACAUUUAGUGGUAAGUAAGAGUGCAAAUCUCGGCAGUAACAAAAAUCUGGCAUUUAGGCAGAGGAUGGUUAAAAAAGCUAAGCAGCUGCAGUUUGAGAUUCAAACCGUGCACUAUCGACACUCAAAAUUCCUUCGCCACAGAAAAAUAGCAAAAAGUAAGUCAUAUUCAGGUGGCUUGUCAAUUUUUUCCUUUGUUCAUUUCAUCUUUAAUUUGAAAUAAUGAAAAUAGUCUCUCAGAUUGUCAUUUUAAAUCGUAUUAAGUCCCCCUAGUCAGUUCAGUAAUGAAAUUGCGUGCAAACACUAAAGAUAAAAAUUCCAUAGUAACAUUUUCCAAUCUACCUAAACUUCAGUGAGCAAAAUUACUCAAUAAUUGUGUGGGUGCAAAUACCUCAAGAGAUAAGACGAGAAAAGACAACAGCAAGCAAGAAGCAAAAGGUACAGCAGCACAAGUUGCUGCUUUUAGCUGAUAGGUGGGCGUAGAAACAAUGGUACUACAAGGAAACCCAAAUGUGUAAUAUGCCAUUUAUAUUGGUACUUCUGUUUGUCUAUUGAGGACUUGCAGAACUUGAUUUCUAAGACAACCAGAUGAGUGCUGAACCAAUACCUGAUUUAAGCUAAGGUGGAUCAAAUAAAAAAUAGGUAGACAAUCUUCACAUCAGUUUUUAAGCCAUCGAAUUCACGUUACCCAGUGAAGACGGAUGGAAAUACAAUACUUCUAAUUCUUCUUAUUGACCACACUGCAAAGUACAACAGCUUUGAUGCCAACACAUGUCAUUUGGUCAAAGUUCUAAGGCAUAUCACUAAAAUUUCACACUACACACAAGAUGAAAGGGUCUUAAGCACAAAAUGUUACUAGUAAAUUGUGCAGAAUUCUAUAGCAAGGAGCUAACUUAUUAGGAUGACUGGCACAACACGCUAAGAUUAAAAGCAUUCUGGGAACCCAAUUAAUAACACACAGCAUUCGAGGGAAGUGAUGAAAUUCCAAAAAAUAGAGCAUCAACGAAGAAAAUCUACAGGAGUGCUCAACUCCAUAGGAUUUGGCUGAAAGUGGAACAUUACCAUCUGGGCAUAACUUGCAGAUUAUCAUAAGCAGCAAUGACCUAAUUUAAGAAUUCCUCAACAAUCCCCUAGAACAGCCAUUAGAGGAGUACGAAUUCAUUCUCUUGAACAAAGUGCAGGCAAGAACCAAGAAGAUAACAGUAACAACACAACAUAUUCACAAGAGGAAACAAGAAAAAGUAUAUAGGGACAUGAGCAUCUUCAUCUAACAUAAGACACGGUGAAUUAACUGGAGCAAGUAGGCUACUAUCACAACAGAACAUCGUCACGAGCAAAACUCUAGCACCUGAUCUUAGAUUCAAAAACAUUACACAACGAUCUUAGAUUCAAAAACAUUACACAACGUAACCAGAAAGAAUAUUUGAAAUGAUCCACAAACUUAUCUGUAGAUCAGUACAUAAGCACGUGUUAUUUGCAAAACCUUGUCCUUACUACAAUAGAAUCUCAAGUUAUUUUGCACUGGACCUGAUCUAGUACUUUAUUUAGUAUCACAUUAUAAAAGGAGGGGUGAAUUUGAGAUGUUCUAAUAGCCUAUAUGCAUAUCAGAAAUGGGGACAUGUCAUUUUUUGGACCUUGUCCUCUCAGAACUAUGGUUUCUGAAAUUAUAUUGCAGGUGUAUAUGAGAUGUUUUACAUAGCCUCUACGAAGAUCAAUCCAAUGGCAUAUGUUAUUUAUUAAAUAUAGUCUUUCUUGAAAAAACUUCCAGUUAAUCUAUAUGUCAAGAUGUUUCAGAAGCGGUAAAAGAUUUCACAAAGAACAACAGCAUACCCAGUGUAAUCCGACAAGCUGGGUCAGGGAAAGAUGGUGUGUACAUAGCCUUACCCUAACUUGCAUAGGUAGAGAGGUUGUUUCUUCUGGACUUUCUGCUCAAGUAAAGCCAACAAAGCUUUAACAAAGUGAGGAGAAGAAAAUUUCAACACGUUAUAACCAAAUUGUUCAACACAUUAUAACCAAAUUGACAUUUACUUGCUCUUACUGAGGCUCCUUAGUAAAGCAACAUCCAUCCCUUUCUUUUCUGUCAAAAGCUCAUGAAUCAUGUGGGCGUGUUGGAUAAAGGGGUUAGACACAAGAAGAAGUGAACAACAAAUAGAUAUAUCUAAAUAUCAGAUAAGAAUUAAGUCCCAACAUCUCAGUAUCAGACAACAACAACAUGCCUAGCGUAAUCCCACUAGUGGGGUCUGGGAAGGGUAGGAUGUACAGACCUUACCCCUACCAUUUGGAUAGAGAGGCUAUUUCUGAUAGACCACCAGUUCAAAGGAAGUAAUCAAAUCAGGAAUAAAGGGAAAUAACGACAGCAAAUAAAACAAGAUAAACAACGCAAAUGAAAUAACAAUAGUAGUAAGAAAUGAAGAAAAAGAUACUAUAUGAAUACUAAAUAAGGAAAAGAUGAGUAGAGGAAUAAAGGGAAAUAACGAAAACAAAGUAGCAAGAAAAACAAAGCAAAUGAAACAACAAUAAUAGCAAGAAAUGAAUAAGAAUAGUAAAUAAGGAAAAGAUGAGUAGAGGAGACUAGCCCCUUAGCUCUCCAAUAUACAAGUAGGACAACACUCGGUCACCCUCCAACCUUUACCUUUAUCCUCGACCUUCAUACCCUCCUAUCGAGCCAUGUCCUGACUAAUCACCUCUCCCAAUUCUUUUUCAGACUUUCUCCUCUCCUAAAACCUACUAUAGUCAAUUCUUCACACCUCCUAUCUGGUGCAUCCGGCACGUCUCCUCUUUACAUGCCCGAACCAUCUCAGUCCGCUUCCUUUUUCGUCUACCAUGGAGGAACUCCCACCUUGUUUCUUAUAACUUCGUUCCUAAUCCUCUCCUUCCUCAUAUGCCACACAUCCACCUGAGUAUUCUCAUCCCCGUCACCUUCAUCUUUUGAAUGUGAGCAUUCUUCAUUGGCCAUCACUCUACCCCAUAUAACAAAGUAGGUCGAACCACCUCUCUCUAGAACUUACAUUUCAAUUUUGGUGCACAUUCUUAUCACAUAGUACCCCAAACGCUACUCUCCAUUUAAUCUACCCCGCUCCAAUACAAUGUGUGAGGUCAUCAUCUAUCUCCCCGUUUCCUUGGACUAUAGAUCCAAGAUACUUGAAACUUCCCCUUUUGGAUAUGACUUGUGUAGCAAUCUUCAUUUCCACCUCUACCUCACGCAUAACAUCACUGAACAUGCACUACAUGUACUCUGUUUUAGUCUUUCUUAACAUGAAACCUUCGGAUUCUAGGAUCCGUCUCCAAACUUCCAGCCUAUUGUUAACUCCAGAGAAUCUCUUAAAAAUUCUUUAAAUAUAAAUAUAAGUUACCCCUAAUACUUUGGGCUUUAGUAUAGUAUAAGAGCACAGUACAUGAAGUAUGAGCUAGGCAUACAUGUUUAAGUCGAAAAGGGUAGAGUGACGGACCCAUUAUCCACCAAGUUUCAAACUGUGCACCAUUGGCAUAGGGAAUUCCUUUAGUUACCAAAAUUAUAAACACAAAAGUCAAAAAAACAUCUACAAGCUUUUUUGCUUAGAGUCCAUGCACACAGCCCUAUAACUUGCUUAUCAACGCGCAUUACACGAGUACUACUCAAUCUUAACACUGUUUGACUAUGCCAAUUGCGGCCUCCUCUUUACUAGCAUCCUUUCAUACGAUAGAUAUGUUAACUAACACCGGGUAACGAUGUGUGUGUGUGAUUUGAGUAACUAACUUAUUGAUUAGGCAUAACAAUGUCAAGCUAUUCAUUAAAAGGGGGCUCACUACCACUUACUGGAUAGUACCACAAGAAAGACGAAGGUCAUAAAACACUUUCUAUACGUUUCGAAGACUAAAUUGGCAUGGGUGAUAGGAAACAAAGUUACUAACCUCAACCAAUAAAAUCAGUAAGGAUAAACAGAGAAUAAACUCAAGCAACAGCGAAAGGAAAACAACUUAGAGAAGGAACAGUAGCAGGUCAGUGGCAACUCAUUAACAGAAUGCACAAGUGCCCAGCCCAGGCCAGGACAUCAUUCCUUUCUCCUCCUCUAGCUGCUGGUGAGGGUCAAUCGACCGAUCCCUGGAACCACAUUCGUUGAUACGUAUAUGGAUAGAUUGAUAAUGGUUCUUCCGCUCGAUGACGAGGGACCCCAAACACUCAUUAAACAAAGAUACAUCAUGCUAGAGAAAGAGAUAGAUUUCCAAAAAAAUUCCUUCUUCAAAAUUGCAAACAUAGUAGAGUAAAAGACCAGUACAUAAGAUUACCGCUUCAAAAAUUGGAUCGAUGAAAACAAUUUCAAACAAGAAUCGAUUCUCUAUAUCGUUCCAAUUUCAUUUGAUGUCCCCGAAGGGACAAGGACUCUAAUUUCUACCCAUAUCUUUAAUGUUUUAAUAAUCUGGCCAUGCUUCAUUUUCCCGCUGAGGAAAGAUGUUUAUUCUUGAGACCUGUUUGGCUUACUCCAACCAAAGGAACAAUCUGUCUGCGCUCUUCUACUUGAUGAUCUGAGAUGCAUGUUAAUGUUAGCUUAACAUCAAUCUAGACUAGAAGGGUGGCAAAUUGGUUGAUUGGAUCAAACUGCUCAGUCAAAAAGUAGGCGCAUAAACGAACCCAUUUCGCUGGGCAUAAAAUUGAUUGGUUCCAUUUUCCGUUCACUUCUGCGCUAUUGCUUAAGUAGCACUAAAACUAGUCCUCUUUGUUUCACUCUUUUUAUGUCUCACUUGCUCAUGCAACCAGUAAGACUACCUCAAUUCUCAAUUUUUGGGGGUAUGUUAAGAACAUCAUGUAACACUUUCAGUUGAAUGUACAGAGGAAGAUUGGUUACAUGUAAUAGGUGGAGCUUGAGGAUAGUAAUCAUUGUUUGUCUCAGCACAGCAAUUUACUGGCCAGUUAUAAAACAUGUUUUUUAAUGAACAAUAUCUAAUGAUGAAAGGUACUCUUAUUUUCAUAUGGUAAACCCCACCAUUGACAUGAACUGUCAAAAUGGGGAGACAAUGAGAAUUAUUAUGGUCGACCCUAACUAGCUUGGAAUUGAGGCGCAAUCUUUGCAUACAGAACGCCAUUCCCUGCCAAGGAAUCGGUUGUGGCUGUUUCCCUUCAGCCUACAAGUAGGUAGCGGAAGAAGUUAGGGGCUCAUUAAGGUUAGAAGAUUGUUUAAAGCUAAGGAGCAAAGAUGUACCCAAAAGAAAGGAGUCUACCGCCCCAUGUAAAGUGACUAUUUAGGAGAGACCAAAAAGUCUAGGAAAUCCAAGCACCAAAAGAAGCAAUAAAGCUUCAAAGUACUACAGAAAUAUAAUCCUAAUUCUACUUCCAAAUUAGAACAAUAAUAGGUAUUUAUUAGCCGCUUACAAUGCUUCUUCUACAAGGAUUAUUCUUGAUAACAAGAAAACUUCUACAAGUUGUUUUUCAGAGUACAAAACUCCAUACAAAUUGGUGAAACAACCUAUCAAGAAACUCUCAGCAGAAUUCCUGCAAAACAAAAAAACGGAAUAAAUAAAAUUACCUACAUAGCCUUCAGUGUAGAAAUUGAUCAAAUGUCCAUAUCCAAUAAACUAGAUGUAGGUUAUACAACUGAAAAUAAAUAUGAAAUGAACCUUUAGAACAUACUGCCAUACCCGGCUACAUUAACUACAGAGUUAGUCUUUUUUCUCAAUAUAGAUUUUGCAUGAGUACACUAUGUUCAUUGUUCACAAAGUAUUUUCUUGUUGUAUCGAAUGAAAAUAUGUGACAACAGUGUUAACGCAUAUCAAGAGAGAACCUACAUGGCCAAGCUCAAUAUCUCUACUUGUAAAUCGUACUUGGAGACACAAAAUCACCCAAAUGCAGAUGUUUUUUAAGACCUGUUGUAUCUAAUGAAAAUAUGUGACAACAGUGUUAACGCAUAUCAAGAGAGAACCUACAUGGCCAAGCUCAAUAUCUCUACUUGUAAAUCGUACUUGGAGACACAAAACCACCCAAAUGCAGAUGUUUGCAAAGACCUGUUGUAUCUAAUGAAAAUAUGUGACAACAGUGUUAACGCAUAUCAAGAGAGAACCUACAUGGCCAAGCUGAAUAUCUCUAUUUGUAAAUCGUACUUGGAGACACAAAACCACCCAGAUGCAGAUGUUUGCAAAGACCAAAAAGAGAAGACAUUUGGAUUCAAAGGCAUUAGCUGCCUGUAUCAUCUACUGUAGGCAAACAGAAGAAAGGAGAAAUUUUGACACGGGAAAACAAUAAUUAGGGGGAGAAAACUUUAAAGCACACAAAUUGGGAAAGCCAGAUUUAUGAUUGCUUCAUUUAAUCCUGUGUCAUAUUAGAUAUGCAUAGGAGAGAUUAUUGUUUCUCUUCUCUUUUCCUAAAUUCGCUUCUUUUGUGCCACAUGCUAACCCCACAUCUCAAGAAUAUCCAUCCAGUUGGUUCAAUUUCUAACCCUCACUGUGUCCAGUUUCCAAAGUAUCUGGUUCUCCAGUUUCAAUCAUGGUUUGGUUUGGAUAGGCUUUUAAAUUUUGAUUCUGAAAUUUGAAUUGGGCCAUUUCAGAACUGGGCCCAAACUUCUCCUUUUCUCCAAUUUGGCCCCCGACUCCACAAACGUUGUACUGAGUUGCCAUUUGUUAAGCUGGAUCUGACAGGGAUUUGUCCCUCUCCAAUUCUACUAAUUGAAUUCUUCUUGUCAUUCAGUCAUUUGCAUACCACCAAUGUCCAUGGGUUUCAUAAUCUAGGAGUACAUCUUGGUUGAGAUCCCAAUAUAGGAGUUCAAUAAUAAUCUAGCAAGUAAUUUUUUAUUUGUACACACCGAAGACCACAUAAUUUUUUAUUUGUACACAACGAAGACCACAUCGUCAUUCACCAAAAAAACUUGUCCAAUCCAACAUAUGUCCUCUUUAAAAUAGUUAGGGAACUCGGUUAUCUUUCGUGCUAUGCAAGUCCAAAUAUCUCAUCAUCAUCCUCUCUUGCUCAUCUACUGCAAUUUAGUAGAAGCCAAUUGAGAAGCACUUAAGUGAUGAAAACUCGGUGCAAUGUAAGUUAACCGUUUUGCCCCAUCUAUGCCGAUUACAGUAAAUGCACCAAGGAGUAAGGACGCACCAAAUGCAAACAAUGCUUUUGAGAAAAUGCACAUUGAGCCUAACUCAAUCCCAAAUGCUAGUUCAUAUGUGAGAAUUGUCAAAGAUCAUAUCCAGACAGUCAGACACAACAAUCACUCUCUGAGCUAGUGUAAGGCAUUCUAAUCCCCAUAUGCCCAGGGCUAAGCAUAUAAAGCAUGGACAUAUGACAUGGGGGGGCACAAUUGAAUAAACCUAUAACACGAAUGUGUUGGACUCUUUAUAUUAAAAAAAAAAAAUGAAUAAAUAAUCCAGAUACCAUGAUAAAAGUAGACUUUUAUCCUAAAUCAACCUCAAAAGGUAGCUCAUAAGGUAAGGGUUGUCCGACACCAUACAAGGAGAAAAUAACCUUGUUCCUGCAUGAGCACUUGCGAGAGGACAUGGAUCAUCUCUUACUGCAUUUCUAGAUAGCAUCACUCUUGUGCUGGGAGCUUUUAAGACAGUUCUGGAUACAAUGCAAUGGAUCAUUUAAAAACCGGGAAGGGCGCACUAUUGAGUUGGGCCUUCAGAGAAGAAGAGAAAAAGCAGAUCGUGGACGCUGCUGUAUUAGCACUUAAUAGAUAUUAUGAAGGAAGAGAAAAAAGAAGAUAUUUAAAGGGAAGAGCUUGUUGAUGUACACAUAAAGCAUAGCAUCCUUUCUUUUAACAUCUUUUUGGUAUACCUAUCAGGUUCUUAUUUGUAUUAAAGUUUGGAUACCUUACCUUCAGACUUUUGUCUUUCUGUAAAUUCUCUAAUUUUUGGCAUACCUCUUAUACACAAGAGAGUUCUCAAUGUUUUAAAAAUCCAAAGCAAAGACACAACAAGAUCAGCUUGAAGUGGAAAGUGAGAAGUGAAGUGCAUGAGCUUAUAAUUAACAGGAAACUGAAAAAAAAGUAUCAAAAAUCAAUGGAUCCAGCACAGCUUUUUGUAUCAAGAGAAUUUAGUACAAUUAAGAUUGUUUGGAAUUAAAAUAACUAAUUUCAGCAUCCAGUAAUGCCGAUAUCAAUCCAACAUCCUCAGAGUUAAGACUUAAACGAACUACCGAUGCUUAUGGGAGUCACUUAGUGCACCAUUUUUGAAGCAUAAACUGUUCUUAAGCACAUGGCUUCACUCAUGAAGCGGUAACCCCCAAUUUAGCAUCACUUCAUCACUUUAAGCACCAAGGUUAUGACUUCUUAUAACACUGGGAGUUUUCCCAUUCUCAAUAAAAUAUACACUUUACUCAACAAAGAUACAAAAGGAGACAACAGCACAUUAUUCACCACCAACAUGGGACUUAAAAGGAGCAGCACUAAGGAGACAAAAGUCUAGUUUGUUUACAGUUCCAGUCAAAUCACUGCACUUCACAUAACAUAUAAUUGCAAUAUCGGAACGCGAAACUUCUUCUUUGUUGUCAUCAGUCAUCACAUUGCUACAUUAUUGGAAGCAUCAUCUUGUUGAAAUUGUCAGAAAUAAUGAAGAAAAAUAUUAUUGAACUGUGUAACUACAUUAUUACACUGAGACCCUAUUUAUAGACACUACAUUCUAAUCCUUUUACAAAUAGGACACUACAUUACAAUCCUUUUCCAAGUAGGAUUCUAUAUGUUAUUCCCAUUCCUACUCAUAUUCUUACACUCCCCUCAAGUUGGUGCAUACAAGGCAUAUGUACUGUUAGAAUAAUAGUAGGAGUAGGAAUAGUAUACAGAAUCCUACUUGAAAAGGGGAUUGUACUGUAGUAACCUAUUAGGAAAAGGAUUGGAAUGUAGUGUCUAUAAAUAGGUUAAUAAUGUAGUUAUAACAAUUCAAUAAUAUUCUUCUCAUACUUCUCACAUGGUAUCAGAGACUCUACGAUCUUGGUAGAGAAUCAAAGAGCUUAAGAUGCCGGUGGGCGGCCAUAACCCAUAUAUGCCGCCCGUCCAGCCAAUGAUCAUGUUUGCAAAAGUUAGGCCACCACACUUUUUUUCCCUACGUUCUCAUAUCUAAUUUGCUUAGUACCGUGCAUCUUUUCAGACUACUUUCUCAUAUCUGAGUUGCAUAGCAUCUUGUGCCUUUUCGGUGACUCCUAAGAUCUGAUUUGCGUAGUUCCAUGCGACUUUAUAUUGACUCCUCAGAUCUGAUUUGCGUAGGGUCGGGUCAUCAUUCCGACCCUACCCAUAUAAGUUCUCCUUUUCAGUCGGAUCGUGCUGUCAUUCUGAUCCUACCUAUAUAAUUUCUCUUUUUCAGUAGAGUUGUGUCGUCAUUCCGACCCUACCAAUAUAAUUUCUAUUUUUCAGUAGGAUCGUGUCAUCAUUCAGACUCUACCCAUAUAAUUUCUAUUCCUCAGUACCAUAUAAUUUUUUCUCAAAUGGUGACCACUUUUCAGCCAUCAAAUCUAAUAAUUCAGCAUGUGAGUAUGUUCCAGCUAGUUCUUCGGUGACUAUCUUGUUCAAGAUCUACUCAUCUCUUGAUUUCAAGAUGACCCUUAUAUUUUACAAUACCAAUUUCCGACAAUUUUUCAGUGACACAUUGACUUUCCGGCGAUGUUUACUACUUUUUGGAUCACUUUUUCAGUUUGUUCCGUUUCAGUUGAGGUCUCCCAGACGUCCAAAGCAGUCCUUAUCAGUUUUCUUGCAAAUAUCUUCACCAAGUCCCUCAUCGAUCCUCGUAUUAGUUACAUCCAUAACAAGCUUGGUACAUAUGUCUUCUAUGCACCAGCUUGAGGGGGAGUGUUAGAAUAUGAGUAGGAGUAGAGAUAGCAUAUAUAAUUCUACUUGGAAAGGGAUUGUAAUGUAUUGACCUAUUAGGAAAAGGAUUGGAAUGUAGUGUCUAUAAAUAGGUUAAUAAUGCAGUUAUAACAAUUCAAUGACAUUCUUCUCAUACUUCCCACAUGUACCAAGCUUGUUAUGGAUGUAAUUAAUAUGAGGAUCAGUGAGAGAAUCGGUGAAGAUAUCUGCAAGAAAAUUAGUAAGGACUACUCUGGACGCUUGUGAGACCUCGGUUGAAAAGGAACAAGCUGAAAAAGUGGUUGAAAAAGUAGUAAACGGCACCAGAAAGUCAAUCUAUCGCUGAAAAAUUGUCGGAAACUGGUAUAAAAUAUAUGGGUUAUCUCGAGAUCAAGAGAUGAAUAGAUCUUGAUCAAGAAAGUCACCAAAAAACUAGUCAAAACAUGCUCACGCGCUGAAUUUUUAGAUUUGAUGACUGAAAAGUCGUCACAAUCUAGGAAAAAAUUACAUUGAUAGGGUCGAAAUGAUAGCACGACCCUACCAAGAAAGAGAAAUUAUAUGGGUAGGGUCGGAAUGAUGACACGACCCUAUUGAAAAGUAGAAAUUAUAUGGGUAGGGUCGGAAUGACGACAUGACCCUACUGAAAAAGAAAAAUAAUUUGGGUAGGGUCGGCAUAAUGGCACGACCCUAACCCUACAUAAAUCAGAUCUGAAGAUUCUCUGGAAAGAUGCACGAAACUACGCGAAUUAGAUAUGAGAGUAGUCUGAAAGGAUGCAUAGCGCUACACAAAUCAGAUAUGAAAAAGUAGUCACCUGAAAGAUGCACGGUGCUACGAAAAAAACAUAUGAAAAUGUAGUCACCGGAAAGAUGCACGGUGUUACGCAAAGAUAUGAGAAAGUAGUCAUCGGAAAGUAGCACGGUGGCCCAAUCUUUUGGUAACAUGAUCAUUGACCAGACGGACAGUAUAUAUGGGUUAUAGCCGUCCACCAACAGCGAAAGCUCUUUGAUUCUCUAUCAAGAUCGUAGAAGCACCAAUAUCAUGUGAGAAUAAUGGAUAAAAAUAUUAUUGAAAUGUGUAACUACAUUAUUACAUUGAAACUAUAGACACUAUAUACUAAUCCUUUUUCCAAACAUGACACUACAUUACAAUCCUUUUCCAAGUAGGAUUCUAUAUGUUAUUCCUAUUCCUACUCAUAUUCUAACCGAAGUGAUUAGAAAGAAACAUGACACUAUGCACGUGACAAUAAACAUGAAGUACAGCACACAAACUCUAAGAUAUCUAGUGUGCACUUAAUUAACAAUCAUGUGCCGGGGAAGAAAAUUGUACAAGCACAAUGAUACCUCUCAUUCUGAGCCAAGCAUCUUACAAGUAACUCCAUCUCGCACAAGCUGUAGAAUUGCAUCCUUCAACUUUAUAUAGUCAUCAACCUUAUUGUAAACCUGAUGAGAAAUCCGAGCAUAUCCUGUCACAUAGGCAUCACCACCAUCCUGUAAUUCUUUUAUCUCCUGGUAGUGAAUUGGGACUUCCACUCCAAAAUGGUCACGCAAACGAGUUCUCAAAUUUAAAGCAUCCUUAUCACUGAGAAUCCUAAGGUUAGCAGGCAAACCAACCAUUGCCAUACUUGGAGACAUGUCAGGAGGGCAGCCAAGCGCUGUUCCCCAAGCAUUGGCCAACAUUUGUCCCAUUUCAAUCACCGCAUUAUGAUUCCUUGUCCUAAUUCCCUCAAUCCCACCCUCAAACCUAUUUAUAAAUUCUAACACCUCAGGUAUAACUAGUUGAGAGCUGUAAUCUCGCGUCCCUAUCCACGCACUUUCAAUGGCUAAUCCAUUACCAUAUUCAUGAGACACCACAGGAUGGUGUAGAUCAGGGGAUACAGGCGAUUUCCGACAGUACAAAAAGGCAGCCGAUGGAGGACAGAAGAACCACUUAUGCAAGUUGCUUACAUAAAAAUCAGCUCCAAUUUCUCUAACAUCGACAUGAACAUUCCCAAUAGCAUGAGCAGCAUCAACAAACACCCGUUCCACACCUUCUUCCCUACAAAUCUUAACCAAAUCACGCACAGGAAUAACAACACACGGCAUUGACGUAAUAUGAUCAAUAAUAGCCAACCGAACCUUCUUCCCAUUCUCUUUCCCCUUCGCCAAUGCUUUACGAAACUCAGCAACAAUCUCCUCCUCCGAACUUAGCGGAAACGGCAAAUGCACCACAAUCACAGAACCACCAGCACGAGUAACAUACGCCUCAAUCGACUUCUUAACCGCCUGAAACGCACAAUGAAGCAUAACAACAGCAUCUCCUUUCUGAAACCGCCCCUCAGCAAACGCCCAACCAAUAUGCUGAAGAACAAUAGCGGCCGCAGUAGUCGCGUUAUCCACAAGAGACACCUCCUCAACAUGCUCCGCAUUAAUCACAUCCUUAAUAAUCCCCCGCGAAUGAAGAAUCCUCUUCUGUAAAUUAUUAUAAAAGAAGUCAUCGGGUUGUUGUAAGAAACGGAGCUGCCAGAGCUUCUGAGCUGCGAUGAUUGACGCCGGACAGCUACCAAAACUACCAUUAUUAAUACGAGCUAUUCCUGGCUGGUGAUGGCCGAACUCUUCAAUUACUUCAGAAUCCGUAAUAAACAAUGAGCUGGACAUCUUGGGUUUCUUCGCUAAACGGUUGUCGUCAGAGCCGUUAGCUCGAUGGUCAUCAUCGUUAGCCGAUUCCAUUUGGAGAUUAGGGUUAGGGUUUUGGGUCACCGGAAGAGAAGAGUGAUAGGAUAUGUUGGUAACUGGCGAACACGGCUACAUUUCAAAAUGAUUCAUUAUUUUUUAUUUUGUUUUUAAGGAUACAGACGUCAACAUUUGGCUACAUAGAAAUGCCGCAAUAUUUAUUGAAAAUCAAUCAACAGUUUUCGUUUAUUUUAUUUUAUUUUUGGCUAUUAAUGGUUGAUUUCUUGUUUAUUCCUUUUAUAUUUUCUUUGUGACGAGUGACUUUUAUAGAUUGUUUGAUAAUAAUAUAAGUUGGAUAACCAAAAUCUGGAUCAUGUAUGUUUUAGAAAUUAAAUUUCAACUAGAUUGAAAACGGAAAGUACAGAAGUGCACAAAUAGGUGAAGGACCAUAAUUUAAAAUAUAGUUAAAAUUUAUAAAAUUGUUAUAAAUGUAUUUACAUUAUAAUGAAUCUCUAUCAAGAUCUAAUAAGAUCUAAUUGAUAUCUAUUAGCAUUUGAAGUAUCUGACUUUUAAUCAGAAACUAGGUUCCUUCAUUGUAAAUCAUCCCUCAAGAAAAGAAAUAAGAAUCGCUCUCUUUAUUCUCUCAACUCUCCUUCUUUAUUCUAACUAAUUAAGAUUAUUUCUUUUUCGGAUGAUGUAUGUCUUUAUAGUUUUAUCAUGGUCAUAUCUUCAAUCCACGAGGGCUACUGUGAAAUCCAAUAUCCCUGCUUAUUCUAUUAAUUUGACAUAAGUAUUUAUUUUUCAAUAUAUUAGUUUAUCUUAUGUGUUAUGUUCAUCAUAUCAGUUUUACAAUAUAGUUUGGUCGGAAGCCGUCACUUUGAUAUAAUUUUGACUUGUAAUCUAAAAAUUUGCCUCGUCUAAUACAACUGUGAUCGUUUUGCCUAGAAUUGAUAAUUAUAUUUAAUACGAUCCUAAAAACUAGUAUUCUAUUUUGUGUUGAAAAAUAUUUUAACAAAUAUAAAACUAGUAUUCAGCUUUGUGUUGGAAUAUGUUUCACAAAUAUAAGUACUAGUCGUAUUGUUGUGUUAACCGUUAAAACUGUCUUUAGUUUGGCCUAUAUUUACAUGCUAUCUACCGAGUCAACUGUUUUGAGGUAUAGUGUAUGCUAAGUAGGAUCUUGUAGCCAACAUCUGUCUAGUGUUGAUUGCGAUAUGCUUCUUUUAAAGUGCUUAAAACUCCUAACUUUCUAACUUUUGCAAGAUUUGCCUGCAAGCAUAAUAGCGCAUUAAAGUCUUUUUGAAUAUGUGAUGAAAAGUUCUAUUUCGAGUGUCGGACUGAACCAAAUAAGGUGAGAUUAUAAAUCUAAAGGUAAUUUCAAGGUUAGUGACUCCUUAUGUUAUUUGUCUUUUGCUACAACUAAUAUAAUUAUUAUUGGAUUUGAGGAAAAAUAAUUGGUUUGGAAUCAUUUAUGUUUUAAAUUUAUUCCUCAAGAACAAUAUUAUCAAGAGGGAUGAUAAUAUGUUGGGUUUAAGUCCCAUCAAUUUAUGCUUAAGACGUCUUUAUAUGAGUAAGACGUUGAGUUUGGAUCUCAAUGCACCAUAUUGAUGAUAUUAUGAUGGCUAAGGCAAAAUAAUGGGUGUUUGAUGAAAAGUCAUGAAAUUCGACCCAUUAAAUAAGUUUCAUUCCAUGAAAUGAAUAUGGUAGCAAUAUAUGAUAAGUCUGAAAUAUGACAACUUACUUCAUUCGUGAGGUGUAUAUGGUAACAGUGCAUAAUAUGUCUGAAAGAAGACAAAUGAUUGAAUGCACGAAUAUAAGUGUGGAGGGACAAUAUGAUAAUGAUCAUCAAAAGUGAUGAUAUUUUCACACGCUUAUAUGAUUAUAAGAUAUGCUAGAGAAAAAUUCUCUACAUCAUAUGUAUGCCUCAAUUUGCUUCUGAAGUAGCAAAAUCUUGAAAGAGGUUAUAAGCUAUCAUAAUUUGAUAGGCUUAAGGCACGAUUAUAUUCAAAUAAUAGUAAAUCUGAAAUUUACUAAAGAAAAAGUACAUGUCAUGGUAAACUUGGAGUUUAAUAGAAUAAAAGCUCAUAAAUUGGUAUGAACGAUUGUGACAUCUCGAAGAUGUGCAUGUAUUGAAGAACUAGAAGAUUCAAGAAUUGUUUAUGUCGUUUGUUCUCAUGAUAAGUUGGUUGGACCAACUAAUAUUGGGAUUGGAUCCCUUCAAAUCUGAAGAUUAUAAAAGGCGAUAAGGGUCCGUUCGCCUGUCAUGUGAUAUGUUGAAAAGAUGCAUCAAUAAGAUGAUCACAUGUACAUUCAUGGUCAACCUACGUUUGACAUUCAUAAAGCUACUUGUUCAAUAUAAAUUGAGCAUAAUUUUCAAAUUAUGUAAUCAAGAUAAUUCAUCUUGAUGAUGAUGGUUUAGCAUUGAAUGUCUUCCAUAAAUAGCUAAACCAUUACUAAUGGGAACAAAGUUUCAUGUAAUGGUAUGAAAUAUGAUAUGUUGUAUACAAUAACAAUUGUAUGCAUUAGACUAAUAUAUUAUGAUUAUUUCUUCUCUCUCAAUUAGUUCAAGGUCAGGAACCAACUAUUCCAUCUAAUAGUUUUGAUGUGCGGUAUACGAUUAAUAAAUAUACCAUGAUGCACAGAGAUGGAUUCCUCGAAAAAGAUGGAGAAUGUAUGUUAGUUUUCCCAACAUAAAGGGGAGAUUAUAAGCAGUUAUGAAAUAUGCUAAGAAUUAUCAUCAGAUCCUCAUUCAAAAGAUAAUUCAAGUCGAAUGCUGAAUGCAUCUCAUAUUUAAGCUGCAAGUGCUCCCAUUUUGUGUUCAUAAAAGAUAAAGUCUACGCAUGCAUGAAGCAUGGUAGACUAAUAGGUUCCAAAUGAAAUAAUCCUUUAAAAAUAAGGAGUAAAUAAUCAUAAUAAGAAGGCAAUAUGCUUUUGAAGAGUCUACGACAUAACACUUCAUAAAACCUUAUGAAAGGUUCGGGUACCUGAAAAUAAUAAAGUGAUGAGAUCUCAAAAUGUUAUGUCACACUGUGAACCGAUACGAAAUGAUAUAUCAUUAAUAUCUUUGAUACAAUAUUAGAGAAAUAUUGCGAAAGAUUAUGAGGAUCCAAAUUCUACGUUUAUUUAAGUAUGCUGACGUAGAAACAUUUAUCAAGUGACCUGAAAGGAUGCAUUUUGGUAAGCAUAAAACUUAUUUGAUUUGCAGUCCAGACACUUGAAGAUGUCACACUUGACAUGUUGAAUAUUGUCACUUGACAAAGCUUAUGUGAAGAACUUUUAAGGAUUCAAAAUGCUUGAAGCAUAUAAAAGUUUCUAGGAAACUUAUUUAUAAUCCUUAUAUUGUAUAAGCUUAUUGCUUGAAAAUCAUUGGAACUCUUGGAGAGUUUUCAAAGCAAUAGAUUAUUUGUUGAAAUUAUAAAUACAUCGAAAUGGGAUAAGAUACAUGAGUUUAUUUUAUUCUAAAGAUUGCAGUCCCGAUCUUACUGGUCAUGCUGAUGUUGGGUACUCAUCUAACCCGCAUAAAUCUCGGUCUCAAACAUGCAAUGUGUUCACAUAUGGGGAUACUACAAUAUCUUAGAGAUAUAUAAAGCAGUCUAUCGUAGCCACUUCAUCAAAUCAUGCUGAGAUAAUAGCUAUUCAUGAGGCAAGCCGAGAAUGUGUAUAGUUGAGGUCCAUGAUACAUCUCAUUCUAGAAAAUCAUAGUGUGAAAUAUGACAAUCUACCCACAAUUUUAUACAAAGAUAAUGCAUCAUGCAUAGCACAUCUUAAUGGAGGAUUCAUAAAAAGAGAUAGAAUGAAGCACACUUCAUCAAAGCUUUUCUACAUACAUGAGCUAUAAAAGAAUGGUAAUAUCAACGUGUAACAAAUUCGUUCAAGUGAAAAUGUAGCUGAUUUAUUCACCAAGUCUUCUCUAAUUACAACUUUUAAGAAGAUAGUGCACAAGAUCAGGAUGCAAAGGUUCAAGGAUGUUCUCAUUAGGGGGAGUUAAUACGUGUUGUACUCUUUUUUCCUUACGAGGUUUUGUCCCACUGGUUUUCCUUGUAAGAUUUUUAAUGAGGCAGCCGAUAUGCGUAUUGUUAGAGAUGUGUACUUUUUUUCCUUCACUAGAUUUUUUUUCCUACUGGGUUUAUUCUAGUAAGGUUUUAACGAGGCAUAUUAUCUAUCUAGACAUUCAAAGGGGAGUGUUAUAAAUGUAUUUACAUUAUAGUGAAUGUCUAUCAAGAUCUAAUAAGAUCUAGUUGAUAUCUAUCAGGAUUUGAAGUAUCUAACUUUUAGUCAGAAACUAGGAGUAUUUUCCCUUAUAAAUAGAAGGGCUUCCUUUAUUGUAAAUCAUCCCUUAAGAAAAUAAAUAAGAAUCACUCUCUCUAUUCUCUCAACUCUUCUUCUUUAUUCUUUCUUGUUUUAUGACAAAAAUAUUUAAAUUGGACAUGAUAACAAUACUAAAUUCAAAAUAGAUGCUCAUGGUUGUCUUUUAAGAGAAAGUCAGAGAUUGUGCCAAAAGACUUAGAAAUUGAACUCCCGGCUACCUCUGAUUCGGUUGCCCUCUAGCCAGUGACUAGCCUAGCUAUGCAGCUAGGUGUAAUACUGCUACAUCGAGACUUUCUUAAAGGGAUGGCUCUAUCCUUUAAAGAUAUCCCCGCAUUUUAAGGAUGGCACGUGAUUGACUAGAUUAGGAGAGAGUGGCAUUUCCUCACUCAUUCUCAUAUGAGUCGGUUGUCUUACUGUUGACGAAUAAGCUCAGAAGAACACUUACUAAAAGAGGGAGCAAAUCUGUCACUGGACGAAGAAGAUCUGUACAAAAUAGAAAGUCAAUUAGAAAGCGCUAACAAGACUCAAACCAAGAAAAUAAAUUUCAUAGUUGCAUUACUUAUAGCUUUCUUGUUCAUAGAUAGAGUAGCUUUAGAAUUUGUAUUUCAUUACAAGGCAUAGCUCGUAUUCAUGUGCUUCAUCUUCGUCUGAAGUUCGCUCCCAAAAAAUAUAGCCAUUCUUGCCCCCAUCACGUCAAUCCCAUGAGCCUCAUAUUUUAAUUAUUUUGAAAUUAAAGCUUAUAUCUCUAAGACUGUGCAAAUUAAUAGUUAAACCAAAAACUAUAACCCAUAAUUAAGUUACUCGUUAACGAUUUAUGUUAUCGGUUUAUCGGUUGGGGGAUUUAUAUAGGGUAAAAAUGGAUAAGAUAUUUAGCCAUCUAGGAUGAUGGCAUGUGGAAGAGAACAAGAGUAGCGUUAGUACACCAAAAGGCAGAUGGUACGUUCACAUAAUAAAGAUAUAAUCAAACCAAAAACUAAAGUGUCCGAAGGCAAAAAGUGUUUUUUUUAAAAUAAAGCAUGCAUUUACAAAAUGAACUUCAAAAGCAAAUUCAAAAACAACCCCAAGAACAACAAAGAAGUUCAAACUAUUUUAUGAAAAAUACCAAAAUCAAAUAUUUAGAAAACAAUAAAGAUUAGAAGAUUUAAUUUUUCGGAAUUCACAGGGUUUUUGUAAGGAAAUUAUUCCUCUCAGGUAUCCGAAGUUAUGAAAUAUAUCCUUGCAGCAUAAAAGGAAUCACUUCAACAGAAUGCGGUACCUCAAAUUCUGUCAAACUAACGCACUCAAGGGUAGCAAAUCACACUUAAGUUUUUUCAAGAAAAAGAGUGUUUUGUUUCUUUUCACAAAAAUCAUAUUCAUAUACGAGGUGAAAUCAGAUAUUUAUAGUCAAAAGGUGAUGCUUCAGAAAAGAAGCAAUGGUACGAAAAAAUGCAACUCUUUAUAAACGUGUAACUCUUCGAAAAAGUCGCAACCCAUUAGAAAGGUGUAAUAAUUGAAACAAAUUAAAAGGAUUGUAGAAAAAAAGACAAAAGAAUUAGCGAAAAAAAUUCUUCUCAUUUUCUUGAUUGAAUAAUGACCUUGUACAAUACCUUAUAUAUAUAUAUACACACACAAAAAAAAGUAAGAAAUGGAAGCAAAACCAAAAGAAAAUCAAACCUAAAUACCUAAGGACUCUUAAAUAAGGUAAAGAAUAAUAAAAAAAUACACUCCUAAAUAAGGUAGGAGACUAGCCUAAAUGAGGAUACACAAAAGAUUUACCUAGGGUAUACAAAAGGAAAUAAAUAAUAUGUAUAGAGAUUUUUUGGAUACAGGACGAAAUAAAUGUGUUGAGACUGAUAAUAUGGAUGUUGGAACAAGUCAUUCACUGCAUCAGACGAAUAUAAUAUAGCAGUCAAGAUGAAACAAGUGAACUAAAUUGAUCCAAUGAACAAAUUACAGUAUUAUCUUAACACCCCUCUCAAGUUGAAGGGGAUGAAUGGACACCCAGCUUGCCCAAAACACUGUGAUGAAGAGUAUCGAUGAGUGAUUUUGUGAAUAGAUCAGCUAAUUGAGAGGAAUAUCAGACAAAUCAAAGUGAAAUAAGUCUAUUCAAAAACUUUUGUCGAACGAAUUGGCAAUCAAUCUCAACAUGCUUUGUUUACUCGUAAAACACGGGGUUCUUAGCAAUAUGUAUUGCUGAUUAACUAUCUGAAUGGAGAGGCACAAGUAAUGAUAUUGAAAUUGAGAGAUCUUGAAAGAGACGAAUCAACCAUGUGAUCUCAACAAUGACACGCCUCAUAAAAUAAUACUUAGCCCCUGUGGAGCUAAGAGAAAUAGAGGCUUACUUCUUUGACUUCAAAGAGAUUGGAUAUAAAACCCACUAGCAGAUUUUCUUGAAUUUGGACAUGUUCCCCAAUUCAAGUCACAAAAAGGAAACAAUGUAAAAGAAAAAGAGGCAUUGAGAAAAAGGCUCAAACCUGAUUUCUUUGAUGAGUAAUUAAGAACACAUAAUGUGGCAGUAAGACGAGGUAGACGAAGAUCUUGCAUGAAUUGGCUAAGAUGUUGAAUAGUGAAGGCAAGAUCCAGACUUAUGUUAGUAAAGUAAUUCAACUUAUCAAGAAAAUGUCUAUAUACACUGGGAUAAAGAAUAGCAUCCCUACCAUUUAAACUUAGUUUUACUGUAGGAUCAAGAGAAAAUGAAACAUGUGACAUAUGUGUCAUAUCAAAUUCCUUUAGGAGAUCAAUUGUGAGUUUUCGUUGUGAAAGUAUGAUUCCAUGAGGUUCCCUCAAUACCUCCAUGCCUAAGAAAAAGUGUAAAUCUCCCAAAUCCUUGAUUAUAAUCUCCUCUUCUAGAAAUAACUUCAACGCGUGCAAUUUUGCAUCAUCAUUACCUGUCAAAAUAAUGUCAUUAACAUAUACUGCUACUAUUGAAAUAGAGGAGUUAGAUUUCUUGACAAACAGAGAAUAAUAAUUAAGAGAUAGAUUGAACCUUUUAAAAUUAAGAGCAUUUGUGAGUCUUGAUUACUAUUGCCUAGAGGCGUGACGAAGUCCAUAUAUAGACUUCUUAAGCUUGCAAACAUAGGAUGGUGAUAGUGGAACUAUCUCAUCAGGUACUUCAUGUAGACUUCCUUACGAAGAUCUCUAUGCAAAAAUGCAUUAUUAAUAUCUAAUUGAUAUAACCCCCAAUCUCUUUUGACAGUUAUAACUAGAAGAUAUUGGAUAGUGGUUAUUUUGAUAACCACAGAAAAGGUCUCAUUAAAAUCAAUACCUUCUCUUUGAAUGUCUCCUUUGAUCACUAACUCAACUUUUAGCCUUUCAAUGCUACCAUCACUAUGUUGUUUGACUUUGUAAAACCUCUUACAAGGUAAAGUCUUUUUACCCAAAGGGGUAAUUGGACCACAUCCCAAAUAUUGUUCUUCUCAAGAGCCUGGAGCUUUUUGGCCGUAGCUUUUUUCCAACCUUUGUGCAACACAACUUGAUUAUAAUUGAUAGGUUCUUGAAUAUUAGACAAAGAAUUCAAUAUAUAUUGAUUAUUGAAAGAUAGAUUUGUGAGAGAAUAAGAGAUUGGGGAAAUAGGAAAUGAGAAACAAGAAAAACUAACAUUAGCCAGGUGCAUAGAAUUGCAAAUAGUUUUCUAGAUGACUAGGAAUUUUGUGUUUUCAAGUUGAUCUUCUAAGUGAGAAAGUAUUAUUUAUGGAAGGAAUAGAAGGAUGUACCUGGUCCAUGACAGUACAAGAAACAUGAGGUUGCACCUGGUUCAUGACAGCAGGAGGAACAGAAGGUUGUACCUGGUCCACAGUAGUGGAUGCAGAAGGCAAAGUAGAAGUGAUACAUGAUGGAGAUGGGAUGCUUUGACUAGUGUCAAUAUUAUCAUCUUAAUCAAUAAUUGGGGUUGAUGUAUGGAUUGGGAAGUAGGAAUCAUUAGAUUUAUAAGAAGCAAAAGUAAAGAUAUUUUCAUGAAACACAACAUCUCUAGAAAUGAUGAUUCUUAGUAUAAAAAACUAAAACUUUGUAAUCUUUCUUUCCAUGUGGACAUCCUAAAAAGACACAUGCGGUGGCUCUUGGUGCCAACUUAGACCUUUGAGGUGAUAGAGUGAAAAUAAAAUAUAGGUAUCCAAAAUAUUUAAGAUUAGAAUAGUUAGGUGUGGUCUUGAAAAGGACUUCAAAGGGUGUUUUAUUGUUAAGAAUUUUUUAAGGAAAUCUAUUGAUUAGAUAAGUUGCAGCCAAAAGACAUUCACCCAACUAUUGAAUGGACAGAUGUGACUAGUAUAAAAAGGCCUAGAUAUUUCUAGCAAAUGUCUAUGUUUUCUUUCAAUCAUAUUAUUUUGUUGUGGAGUAGAUAUACAUGAGGUUUGAUGUUGAAUCCCUUUAGAAAUAAAAUAUUCUGACUGUGUUAUGCCACUUUCUAACUCAUUAGCAUUAUUAGAUCUUACUAUUUUGACCUUGGUUUGAAAUUGUCUUUUGAUCAUAGCUAAGAAAGAUUUGAGAAUCGUGAAAGCAUUUGAUUUAUUGCUUAAUAAAAAAGUUCAUGUUCCUCCACUAAAAUCAUCCACAGUGGUAAGAAAGAAUUUUAUACCCAUCAUGUGUUAGUUCUUUAUACGGUCCCCAAGUGUCAAUAUGUAUUAACUCAAAAAUAUUUUUUAUUAAGAUUUUACUUAUUGAAAAAGAUAAUUUGGCUUGUCUUGUCAUAGGACAAAUCACACAUGAAGUGUCAAAAUUUUGACAAGAAGAAAUGGAAUAAAAAGGAAUAUUUUUUAUAUUAUUCAAAAGCAUAUACUCAAAUAUGUAAUGCCACGAUUUCUCCUUCAUUUUGGAAUCAACCAAGGCAAAACGUGAAUGAAAAAGUGAAUUACAACUGGAGAUCCUAUUACAAGAAACUGAAUUAAGACUUCAACUAAGAUUUGAGAUUUUAUUAACUUGAGCAUUUGAAAGAAUAUCUGACUAGCUUGAUUUGAAUAUGUAGAAUCCUCCUUUUUCUCUAUCAAUUUUCAAUGGACUCUUCAGAGAAGAGCUCUGAAAUAUAAAAUAAGAAGUAAGAGUGAAUAACACAAAACUGUUGAGUUGUCUACACAAUUUUGUAUAGAUAAGAGAUUGUAUUUGAAAGAAGGUAUAUAUAAAACAUUGUUUAAUACAAGAUUUGGUAAUGCACAGACUAUUCCUGAAUGAGUUCUCUUACUUUGUAUGAAUUAGGAAGAUUCAUCAUGAGUGUUCUAAACAAAGCCUUAAAUUUUGAAAGAAUUGCUUUAUUGUGAGUCAUAUGCUGAGUAGCUCCAUUAUCUAAUAACCAAGAACUAUUGUCAAUGUUUUACUAGGUGUGCAUAAGAAUUGAAAAACUUAGUUUUACCAGCAACCCUCAUGUUGGCAGAAACUUGAGGAGUAUUUCCACCUUAUUUUAUAAUAUUUAAUUAUUAAAGAAGCUCCAUCAAUUGUCCCACAAUUUUUUGAGUCAGGGACCUGAUGUUUGGAAUACUAUUGCUCACAUGUUCCUUAGCAGUGUCGAAAUUGUUGUUGACUUGAACUUUUUCUUAAAAUUUUUUUAAUACAAGACGAAAUUAAUGUGUUAAGGCUGAUAAUAUUGAGGUUGGCACAGGUAAUUCACUCUAGGAGACGAAUAUAAUAUAGUAAUCAAAUGAAAUAGGUCAACCAGCUCGGUCCAAUGAAAAAAUUAUAGUAUUAUCUCAACAAAAGGUCAUAACCAUCCAAAGUGAAACGGUAUUUAUUUAAAUUACAUCCUUUCUCUUGGUGUCUUUUCGAAAAAAAUACCUAUUUAUUUUUUAUUCACAACUCUUAAAACCCUAACAAUCUCUACGUGAAUGGGGAAUGACUAUUAGAUCAAAAAUAAAAUAUAUGAACAAAUGUGUGAUUUACAAGUAAAGACUAAUUGUAUCUGGAUAAGUGAAUUUCCCUUUGAACUUUUUGUACUGAACUUAUAGCCUAUCCCUUACCUGAAGCUAACAUCACAAGCCUAAAGAAUUUUAGAAGAUUUUAGAAAUUAGUGUUUAGCCUACAUUAGUAUAGAUAGACAUAAAGGGCAAACAUAUGGAUUAAAGAUGAAAAAAUACUCAAGAAAAUAAUCAUAAAGUUAUCAAUUUCAGAAAAGUCCCGAAAAGGCUAGCAAAUACAGUUUGUUGAACAGAAAAAAUAGAAAUAAGGUAAAGAUUUGAUGGAUAUAGAAGAUUUAUGCAGUUUGACAGCAUGAUAAGUUUUGUUUAGUUAAAUUUAUGUUUUACAAGAUUAGCAAUAAUUUCAAAUAUAUAUAAAUAUUUUUUCUACUUACAAAAUUCAUUUCCUCAAGGCGAGCAAAAAUUCAAAUAUGAAAAAAUUUGAUGAAUAGAAAUUAUUCAUGAAUUUUAAUAUAUAAAAGUAAUAAUUUUAAAUAAAAAACAUGAAUAAAUAUAUUUAAUUCUUGUAAUAAUUUGAAUUUUAAAAUCUUAUUUAUUGUGAGUUUUGAUCAUUUUAUUCCUUUUUAUAGCUGUUACAUGUUGACUUUGGGGUAUGAAAAUGGUUGUCAUGAUUUUUGAUGUGAUCGAAAGUAAUUUUGGCGAGUUUGUGGUACUUAGAGGCUUAAAAAGUCAUAUAAUUGACUUCAAUCAAUAUUUAUUGCUAUGAGUGUCAAAUGACAAUUCAAACAGUUCCAUUGGGUUUGGAAUAUCAAAUUUGAAUUAGUACCGUAUGGGUUUGGGUUCAGGGCUUUUAUAUUGUAUUUCAAUUCUUCAUAUGGAAAAUAGUGAAAAAAGAAUUCCCAUAGAUUAAUUUAUUGAAAACAUUCUUUUUUUUUUUGUUGAAAAUUUGACAUCUCUAUUGAGUUUGAAAUGUUGAAAGUAGCUUGGUAGCAUAUAUGAUUUGUCUUUGUGAGGUCCCGAUCAAAUUUUAAGGGUCCAUUCGAAGCUUGAUGGGCUUGCACCAAAACCAGCGUUUGCUGAUAUCUGAUGAAGCCGCUUAAGCAGCAAAGGUGUGUUUUAACGGUCUAAGACUGCUUAACCGAUAAUUAUUUUAGGUCCUAGUACCACUUUAGCAGCAACCGCUGUAUAUAACCCCUUUUCUAAAAUUUUCACCAUUUUUGAACCUCCAAGCUUCGAAAAAGGCAAUUUUAGAGAUUUCUUUAUUGAAUUUAGUGUGGGUAACUCCCAAACUCAUAUCCCCAUUAUUUCAUUGAUUACAUCUUCAAAAAUACUUUUUAAUCAUGAUUUUAAAAUAAAAUUUUGAGGUUUUCAUAGGUAAAGCUUAAAAAUGAAUUUUCUUCAAUUUGGACCUUGUUCUUAACCCAUUUCUUUAUGAAUUUUAACUGCAUACUCCUAUAACUUAGGGAGUGUAUUUCUAAAAUAAAAUUCUGAUUUUGCUUUUUUUUUUUCAAGCUCAUUUUUCAAAUUCGUUUUAAAUUCGACCUAAAUAUGAACAAUAUGAGUAUCGUUAGCUUUUUUUUGACACGUAGAAGCUAUAUUUAAAUAUUGUAAUUUAUUUCGAGGCUUUUUGUAAGGAAAAACCCCAUGUUAAAGUACUUUAGACUGAAAUUUUAUCGUUUUCAGGUGGGUUAUGACUUUUCUUCUUUCAGAUUGAGUUGGGUAGUUAAUAUAUAAGUAGAGCAUGUUAUGGGUAAUGGUUGGGGGAAUAACUAUUGAGUUUAUAUUUUGAGAUGAUUAUUGUUGUGUGCUUUUAUGGGGGGGCUUAUAUUUUAUUUUUUGUUGACUCGAUAUAUUUGAUAUCACUGACCCUAUUUGUGAAUUUAAAUAUCUUUACUCUAAAUAUAAUGUUCGUGUGGGGGCUUGAAUUGUUAAUUUAGGUCAUUUUGAGCAUUGGUUGCCUCUUUCGUGAUAGAAAUGCCUGAGUGUGGGGGCUUGAAUUGUUAUUUUAGGCCAUUUUGAGCAUUGGUUGCCUCUUUCAUGAUAGAAAUGCCUGAGUUAGGGAUUGAUAUAAUGUAAACAAUGUCUUGCACACAUAAUUAUUCUGACGCUGCCUAAUGAAUGAUGAACAUAUUGAGUUGAUUAUAGGCUCACUUAUAUAUCUAUAUUGGAUGGAUUGGAUAUUUUCAUACUGAUUUGGUUGUGAACAUUAUAUUCUCAUUCUAUGCAUAUAUAUACAUGAGAUACUGAUGUUAUUGAUGAAUACUGUUUCUGGAAAAAAUGUGACAUUUUAUAAAAUCCUCUUUGUGAACAUGAGCCUAAGAGGUGGGUUGAGAUAUUGAGAUAUGAAUUAUACUAUUUGGGUUGUGAACUCCCCAUAGGUCCUAUCAUUGAAAUGGGCUCGGUAGGUAUAUACAGAAAGUCAUGUGAUGACUUUCACCAUUUCAUUUCAUCACCAUUGCAUUAUAUUACAUAUGCAAGUUUUGUAAUUUCCUUGUUUUUAUGAUGUGUGUUUACUUUUUGUAUACUUUUUGUGUAUAUUUAUUUGUUUCAUUUAAGGAUUUAUUUAGAACUGUUAGUGUGAGCUACCAUUUGGGAUUUUUCUACUUGCAGGUGACAUGCUCAUAGUUUUCUUUACUUAUAUUAUUUUAUAUUUUGUUCAGUCAGCCUAUGAUACCAACCGAGUAAGGUGAAAUGUACUCACCCCCUACUGUGUCCUUUCAAUGCAGAUUCAUGUACGAGAACAGGAUAUGGUAGCUGAUUUUGUGCUUAUCUGAGAGGUGAUUGAGGUACAGGUGUUCUAUAGUGCUUUAGAGCCGACUUUGAAUCUCCUCUUACCCGUCUUUGAUGUCUUUACUUAUUUUCAUAGACAUAUAUUCAUAUUUCUGAGUUGUAUUUAGAUGUUCUACACUUAUAAUACUAGAUCUUGGGUUUUAUGAUAUUCAUAUUUCUGCUUUAUUUAUAUCUUAUGUUGGCCUGACUUCGUUCUAAAAGUCUCCCCAUGCUAUUUUCUUUUACUUAGUGGGUUUAUCUUUUCGUUUUGUAUGAUUGGCUUACUUGUCAAGGUUGAGCCGCGACACGUGACAUCAAGACCUAAUUUUUAAGUCAUAAUAAUUUUUCUACAUUCUCUAACAAUUAUUGCAGGGAGAAGAAUGCAUGAGAAACAAGAAAAUAAAAGAAGAUAAAAGACUAGGAAGGGUGGUCCAUCUACUAAAAAUUUAUCAAAGAUUACACAAAAGUAAGAAAAAUAAAAUCAUGAAUGUUCUCGUAAAAGCUUUUGAAUUUCUCACUAAAGUUUCAUGAUAAUUGUCAUGCAAAAAUGUCACCAAGCUUUCAUGAUAAUCGCCACAUCAAAUUCUCAUCAACAUCUCGUGAAUGUGAAAAUACUUAUAAAUCUCAUGCGGCCUAAGUAGAAUAUUUUUCUAUAAAUAGACAUAUGUUGUAGGAGGAAGAUCAUGCAAUUAUCAUCCAUUUUAGUAUUUCAACUUUCUUUCUGUUUUUUAGUUUCUAAGGAGAAAAGAAGAGUUUAUCUCAGUUUCUUUCUCUAAUUAUUUUCUUGUAGUAAACAUAUUUUUAUUUUUUUUUUAGUUUUUUCUUACUCCAUAAUGAAGUUCUCAUUUGUUAGGACAGUUGAUGAAGCUUGAUAACGUGCCUCGCACGUGUAACCUUGAUUAUUUAAAAUUAAAUAAUUUUAUCUAUUGUGGAGAUUUUUAAUGAAGUGUAAAAGUUUAAAUCACUUUUCAAAGAUUCUUCACACUUUACUAUAAUAAUGUAAACAUAAACUUACUUUUUAGUGUAAGCACAUAUAUAUUUUACAUCAUCACUUUUACAUUUUGAUUACAUUCUUAUUUUAACGCUUUUACAUUUAUUUCUUAUUUUAACGCUUUUACAUUUAUUUCUUAAAUUUUUCUUAUUUAAACGCUUUUACAUUUAUUUCUAGAUUUUUCAAAUCUUCUUUAAAUCAAAUUUAGUUGAUUUAGAAUUCUAAAAUUAAUGAAAAAAGUUUUAGGUGUCAUUAAUUCUCAUGACUUCUAAUAAGGAAAGAUUUUACAUAAAUAUAUUUAACUAAUUUUCAAUUUUAAAUAUCAGGAAAAAAUAGUGAAAAGAUGAUUUUGUCUAAAGUAAAGACUUUUAAUGAAGGGCAAAAGUUUAAACGACAUUCUAAGGCCCUUCAAACUUUUAAUAUUAUAUAUAUAUAUAUAUAUAUUUAUAUAUAUAUAUAUUUACAGUGGCAGACUUAGGAUUUUAUACAAGUGGGUUCAAUCAUUAAAUAGAAAAUGAUCACUAAUAGUGUACGCAGCGUCAAACGCAAUAAAUAAUUUUUUCUUUAUAUUUUUAGUUCUUUUUUUUACGUUAAUAAUAUAAUAUCAAAUUAAAGUAGGCUUUUUUUAAAAAAAAAAAAAAAGAAGAAGAAAAAACUGGCACUUUUUAUCUAAAUUUAACAAAGUUAAAAAAAAAAAGAUUGCAAAAGAACCUAUUUAGAUUUUUUAAAAACUGAAAUUAAAAUAAACUAAUAAAUUAAAAGUAUAUAUAUUCAACUAAAAUAGUUGCAUAUUUUAGCUAAAAACUAUGAAAAAGAGUACCAUAAUUCUAUAAUAAAAGGUUAAUUUUAUUUGAAGUAGAAUAGAUUUUAUAGUUUUAUCGAAUUUGAGUAAAGAAAAAAUUAUAAGUUGAAAUAGAAAAAGAAAAAGAAAAAGAAGAUGUGGAUGAUAAAAUUUACUAAUUACUGUAGCAUUUUACUAGGAUGUCUAAUAUGAUUGGCCAUUCUCUUUUGAAAAAUUCGGCUUGCCAUAUGAUAUUCAUACUGAUGAGCAAAAAGGAGUAAAAUAGUUGUUGAAGGUACUCGAACUCGGAUACGAAGUAGAAAAAUGAACCCGCUGGACCAUUACGCUGUACCCAUGUUUUGUGUAAAGUGAGUUCAACUUCUUAUAUGAUACAAAAUUUUAUAGUAAUUUUACUUUAUAUAUACAUAUAUAUAUAUAAAUAUACUAUUUUAAUCUCAAAACAUCUUGGCUUGAAAAUUUUCAUUUAUAAUUUAAACUAUGUUGGAGUAAUAGUUUUCAAUUAAUCCAUAUCAUCACCUUCAUAUAUUUUAUCUCUAAGUUACCUUUAUAUUAAUUUAAUAAUUUUAUAAUUCUCAUGGAAUAAAACUAAUAUAUGGUGUCUAAUGAGUAAAAUAGUAGAGUGAAAGUAAUCUUUAGUUAUUUAUUAUUUAAAAUUUUUUGAUCUUAUUUUUUUAAAUUCUAAUUCUCACGGAGGGAUUAACUCAAGCAUGUUCAUUGAUUUAGAUAUUAUUUAUCUCAUUUCUUUCAGUCCUAAUUCUCACAAAUGGUUUGACGCAAAUAAGAUAUUGAUUAAAGCGGUCUUUAUCUUAUUUCUUUCGGUCUUAAUUCUCAAAGAAAGAUUGACUCAAAUAAAUUUAUUGAUUUUUGGACUAAUCGAAAGAGGUUUUUUAUCCUUUUUAGCACAAUUCAGGCAAGACAAAUAUUUAAUUUAAGUAUCUCGGGUCUAUGAUUUUGGGAAAUAAAGAGAUAGACGAGGAUGUCUCUCACCGUAUUGGGGUAGGUUGGAUGAAAUGGAGGCUCGCUUCGAGAAUUUUAUGUGAUAAGAAGGUGCCCCCCAAGCUGAAAGGCAAAUUCUAUAGAGUUGUAGUCCGGCCUGCCAAGUUGUAUGGAGCGGAGCAUUGGCCGAUUAAGAAUUUGCAUAUCCAAAAGUUGAAGGUGGCAGAAAUGAGGAUGUUGCGUUGGAUGUGUGGAUGCACAAGGGUUGACAAGGUUAGGAAUGAAAUUAUUUGGGAGAAGGUGGGAGUGGUGUCAGUAGAGGAUAAAAUGCAGGAAGUGAGGUUGAAAUGAUUUGGUCAUGUGAUGAGGAGAGACACAGAUGGCCCAGUUCGUAGGUGUGAGAGGUUGGCCUUGAAAGGUUUUAGACGGGGUAGGGGUAGGUUGAAGAAAUACUGGAGAGAAGUGAUUAAACGUGAUAUGGAGCAGUUACAGCUGACUGAGGACAUGACCCUAAAUAGGAAGAUAUGGAGGGAAAACAUUAGGAUAGAGGGCUAAGGGUAUGGUUGAGUCAUAGUCAGUAUUUAGGUGGACUUUGGUGCCCGUUGUUUGGGAAUGUACAUAUUUUUGUAGAUGUCGUACCUAUGUUAUUUUAUCAUGUUCUAUGCUCUUGAUGCUUGUGUAUACUGCCUUUUAUCUUGAGUCGGGGGUCUAUCGAAAACAGCCUCUCCACCUCUGUACAGGUAGUGGUAUGGACUACGUACACUCUACCCUCCCCAGACCCCACUAUGUGGGAAUAUACUGGGUUUGUUAUUGUUGUUGUUGUAUAAUUUUAAUUCUCAUAGAGGGAUUAACUUAAGCAUGCUUAUUGAUUUAGAUAAUAUAUUUCUUAUUUCUUUCAGUCAUAAUUCUCACAGAGGGAUUGACUCAAAUAAGUUACUAAUUAAAGGGGUAUUUAUAUUAUUUCUUUCAACCCUAGUUCUCACAGAGAGAUUGACUCAAAUAAGUUUAUUGAUUUAAGGACUUGAUCGAAAGAGGUCUUUUAUCCCUUUUAACACAAUUCAGGCAAUAGAAAUAUUUGAUUUAAUAGUUACUAGAAUUAAAUCAGUUAUUGACAUGUAAGACCCCAUAAAAUUUUAAUAAUUUUAUUUUUGACCCCUCUUUCAUGCUUAAUGACAAUUUUUGACUUGAAUUAUGAUUAGGGAUGGUAAAAGGGUGUUUUGGGAAGGUUUUAAAAUUUUCAAAAGGGGUUCGGGGUUAUUUUGGAAUCGCAGGAUAGUAAGCCUCCCCGAUAGUCGCGUGCCACGAAGGUUAGCCUCCGCGAUAAGGGCGUGGCACGGAGGCUACCCUCUACAAUAAGAGCGUGUCAUGCUCCUGUUUUAAUUUUGUUCAGUUUUUAUUUUUUCACUUGGGGUGAGGGACCUUUGGUCUUUUUACCCCUUGUACGAUUUAUAAAUACUUGGGUAACCGUUUUCCUUUAGUUUUCAAAGAUCAAAAUCAUUUCUUUUCCACUUUAACUCAAAACCCGAGAAAGCUGAAGGAUUUUACAAGGAAUUCGCCAUCCAAGCUCCAAACUUUUGAAUUCUCUUCAAAUUGUUCUAUAUUUCAGGCAUGCCCUAACUUAUAAUUUUGUAUUAUGACAUUUAUUUAAUCAAUAGUCACGUGUUUUAAUUAUUGGGUUUGAAAUUUGAUUGAGGGGUCUUGUUGUUAUAACUUGAAUUACUUGUACCGUGGUUUAAAUUAAUUAUUCAUGCUUUAAUUGAUGAUUUUUGAAAAUGAGCUGAUGCAUUAUUUAAUGGUUGGAAUGAGGAACAUGGGUCUCCCCAAAUUGAUGGACUUUUGGCUUGAUAAUGACGUUCACCUCAACUUACUUUGUAAACUUUAUUUUGAAUAUGGAUAAUCGGAUAGUUUAACAUGUUUUUUAAUCCAUUUCAUUGCAUUAAAGAAUAAAUGAAUAUAAAAAUGAUUUGGGAUGGCCUUGGUGGCCAUAGAUUGGAUUUUAAAUGAAACUUUGGAGUUAGUUUGGUUUUAUGGACUGGUUUGGCACAAUUGAAUUAGCUUGCAAGCAUAUUGGUAUGACGAUACCAUGAUGGUAAAUUCUUUAAUAAUGAAUCUUGGGUUAGUGGUUGGUUUGUAUGUAACCGUUUUAAAUUGGGCGUAAAGAAAAUUAUUUAUCUCACCAUGAAGGUGUAGGUCCCGGGGAGAUCAAAACUGAAACCAUGUUUGCUGGCAUUGGGGGUCUUUGUGAUCGUGUGCUUGGUGAACACAUAUUAUAUAUAUAUAUAUAUAUAUAUAUUGGGAGGACUAUAGCCUUGGUGUCUUUAGUCUUCCUCGAUUUUUCUUAGUUCGUGUGGCUCAAUCACUAGGGCCCUUCCAUCAAGGGAUUAUACCCAUAUAGCUCAUGGUUGUCUUUAGGACGGUGCGAGCUACGCAGUUCAAGUUAAUACUUUAAACUUUCAUGUUUAUGACCCUUGGCUUUAUCCCGACAUCCAUAUAUAUGUAUAUGAAUGUGGUGCAUAUGGUUUAUGACUAAAUUUUGAUGAUUGCAUUGUUUUAUCCCUUUUCUCUAAGUUACAUGUCAGUGCUCACCCCAGUGACCGUCUCUGGAUGCUACAUCAUUUUAUUAUAUAAGGUCUGAGGGUUUUUCUGUUGCUUUUGUGUAGCAUUAGGUGGUUGGUACUCCUGUUGAUCAGCUGUGAAGUGGUGAGCCUCCAACUUUUAGAAGGCUCGAUCAUUUCAUUGGUUGCAUUACUAUUUUGGUACUUCUUUUGAAUCCUUUUGGUCAUAGUCGGGGCCAUGUCCCGACUUAGUUUGUAUUCGGGUUUUAGAGGCUUUUCUGAACUAGUAUGGGUGGUUAUUUGUUUGGAUUCUCAGAACUGUCUUUGACUUAUUUUUUCUCAUUACAAUCUUGGGUGGCUUCCGCUGUUUAUAUUUAUGUGCUCUUGAGGUAAGGAUAAGAGGGUGGUCUCCAGUCCACGGUAUGUUUGAGAUACCCGUCAUGGCCAGCCUCGAGUUUGGAUCAUGACAAGCUUGGUAUCAGAGCAUGGUUUAGGAUCGUUGGGUGUCCAAAGUUGUGUCAAGUAGAGUCUCUUUUAUGGAUAUGUAGCACCCCACAUAUAUAGGAAGGAGGGUACAAGGUAUUUAAGAAUAUUCUAAUUCUUGUGUUCUAUUUCGGGCUAUAGAGUCUAGUUGUUAUGAAACUUCUCUAACUACUGGCGUACUCGCAUUUUAGAUCAUGCCUCCCCAAAGAUUUGUCGGACGUAAAAACUCUGUUGUAAACUCUGUCCCACCUGAGGAGAAUGUAGAGAGACUUCCCCUUAUUUACGGAAUACAAACCCAGUCUAGGGUCCCUGUUUCUGACUGUACCGCUCUACGUAGGGUUCCAUCAAUCCCUACUAGUCCUCCUCGAGCUUCCCCGACUGGUGACACUUAUGCUCAGUCACCUCAGGGAGAUAUCUCUAAUGCGGAGUUACGUCAGUCAGUUCAUAUUCUUGCCUAAUUUAUGGCAUCAUAGUCUUGUUAGUCUGAUCAUGUCGGUCUUACUGUUAGUUCAUCUGAGGUCACUCGGGUUGGCCUAUUUAUGACGUUGAAUCCUCCAACCUUUAUAGGCUCUAAGGUUGAGGAGGAUCCUUAGGGGUUUAUUGAUAAGAUGGAGAAGGUCUUUUGGGUGAUGCAUACUACUAAUUCAAAGGGUGUGAAGUUUUCUGCCAAUCAGCUGAAAGAUGUGGUGUACCAGUGGUAUGAAGAGUGGUAAGCGAUGAGUGGUGAUAAUGCUGAACAACCUGUGUGGGAUGGCUUGUAGGUGCUUUUAUUGAUCAUUUUUUUCCUUAGGAGUUGAGGAAAGCUUAGGCUGAAGAGUUUGUUAACUUAUAGUAGGGUAAGAUAAGUGUUAAUGAGUUUGUACUGAAGUUCUAUCAAUUAUCUCGUUAUGCUCCUGAACUGGUGUCUAAUAUGAGGUAUGGAAUGAUAAAAUUUGCUUUUGGUUUGUCCCAUGAUUUAGUGUUAGAGUUCAAGGAUGCUAUGUUGAAUAAUGAUAUGGACAUAUCCAGGUUGGUUGUCUAUAUGCAGCAGGGUGGGGGAUGGCAAAAAGAAGCAGACAGAUAUGGGAGAGAGGCAGAGUAGGAAGUUUAGAUAUUCAAAGCAAGGUACAAAUCAACAAAAUAGUGAGAAAGAUGGAAGGCAUUGGACGAAGAGGAAGAAUUGGGGAAAUUCUUAUUCUUUAGCUAGUGCUCCUUAUCCUAAGCCUUUAGGUGAUCGUCGUUUUCUAGCUAGCGGUGGUCCUAAGGCACAGGGUUCCCAGUCUCAGGCUAGUGAAGCUCAGUCAGCCCCACUGUAACACCCCAGAUUUUUGCCUCUAAAAUUUUUUUGAGUUUUGAGCUAACUGCUCAUACUACGACUCACCUAACGAGUCGUAAGGUCUUCUUAUGGGUCGCAGGGCUCGAGUCGUAGAGUGACCAAUAUGGGUUGCCCAUGUUUUUAUUGUGACUACGACUUGAUGUCAUGAGUCGUAAUGACUUUUUACGAGUCGUAGGGUGCUCUCUGUAACCAAACCAGAGUAGGUACCCAAUAUCACUGUUGUGGUUAAGACUAGACCCUACGAGUCAUAAGUUCUAUGUAUGAGUCUGUAACGACCUGAGACUACCCCCUAGUCGCCACACAGUGCUUGGAACCACAAAUGAUCCCAAGCUAACCCAUGAUCUGGCAUACUGUUAAUCAACUGAAUUAUAAUAAAAUAAAUAAUGAGUUCUGCUGUGCGGAAUCAUAUUCAUGGCAUAAUCUGAAUAAAUACAUUACUGAUAAAGUUUACAACAUGAUAAAACUGAAGGAAGAAACUGAAAUUUUCAUGACUGACUAUGACUGACAUUUAUGAAGCCUCUACUAUACUGACUGUAGAUAGCUGGGACAUGCCUUCAACUACCACUAAUCAAUACAUAUGAAAAUAAAUGAACUUUACAUGAACUAAAACUGUCUGUAGUUCCCGAAAUAAGAGAACUCAUCACCUGCUAGCUGAAAACUACAACUGUCUGAUCAUGGUGUGCGGGCUACAAUGGUACCUACAUUAUGAAACAAUCUAUCCACACAGACGUAUCUAUGGAUCAGUACUUCUGGAAUGUAUUGAGUAUGCAGGGGUGAAUGCAAUAAGUAAAAUUGAUUUCAUAUUUAAUCUUAAAACAUGCAUGCUAAGUGUAAGUAGACUCACCCAUAAGCUGGAAUAAACUGAAUGUUGAAAUAUCUUAAAACAUGAGUAACAAAUAUGAUCUGAUAAACUGGUGAAUCUCUACACUUAGUUUCUGUAAAACUUUACUUUUAUGAUAUUAGUUGGGGUGUGCAUCGGUCGGUUCGGUUUGGUUUUAUAUAUUAUUGAUUCGGUUUAUCGAUUUUCAGUUUUUAAAUAUGCUAAACCAAUAACCAAAUCAAUAAGAUAUUUUUUAUCGAUUUUCAGUUUAUCAAUUUUUAGUCCUUAACGGUUCGGUUUUUGAUUUAACCGAUAAAAAAAUAUUCAUAAAAUAGAAAUAGAAGUAACUAACAUGACAAAAAAAAUCGAAUCUUAGUUGUGUUUUAAUUUACAAGAAUCUUCAAGUUUGAACUAAAUGUUGUUAGGACAAACUAAAAGCUGUAUAAUUGAAAUAAUAGGUUUGUUAAUUGGUAGAAAUUAAAGAGAAAUUAAGAGAAAUAUAUAAUAAGUCAUAUAUAUAUAUAUAUAUUCUUAUUGGGUUAUCGAUUUACCCAAUAACCUAAUAAUUUUUUUUUAUAAAACCAUUAACAAACCAUUAAUCCAAUAACCCAAUAAUAAUAAACCAAUAACAUUUUAAUUGGUUCGGUUUAUCGAUCGGUUCAAUUUUUGCACACCCCUAGAUAUAAGUAGAAUUGAAGCCGGGAUAUGGUAAAAUGUGAAUAUUGUAUGAAUACUGAGUUUGAAAGUACGUGAUGGAAACUGACAUAACAUCAGGGAUCUGACUAUACAAUUAUAUUGAGCACGAAUACCUAAACAUACAAAACCAAACGUGACAUAUACUAAGCUUAUUUGAUUAACUGAAUAACUAAUACCUGAAUACUGGUAAUGUAAGACUGGACUGUACUUAAUCUGAAUAAUUGGACUGAAAUUAUGGAGUACUAUGCAUAUGAGACAAGACUGAACAACAUGGGAUGACCGAACAUGAAUGCAUGUAAACUAUAUUAUCUGAGAAUGCAAGACCAAGCGUAUAACAUAAUUCUGAAAUAGUCUGUAAACUGAAAUACUGAUAACUGAAUAAUUGAUAAUUGUAUGUUAUUGUCAAGAAAACCUAAAACUGAACUCUGAACUGAAUACUGAACUGAGAGUGUAGCUGAGACUGUGGACUGUGGGAGGUAUCAUUUAAUCGAUAUGCCCUAAUCUGAGCUAAUCGGGGUCCAACCUGUAACCCUAGUUGGAUGGGUAUUAGUACCGUGCCACGGGUACUAACGCUGGCUGUGUGGAUCCACUAAACUGGAGUCCCAAAGGACUAAGGAGUAACCCUAUACUGGCAGAAAACUCAUGAGAUAUGUGUCAAUCCUAACCUGGCAGAAAGAUAUCUCAAACCUACGUUGACUACGUAGUUCUGUAACUUAGGGAUUGUUACUAAAGGUCAAACCCUAAACUGGUAGGAAUGCCCCUCAUCCUUGGGUUCGCUCGGUGUUAAAUCCUACUCCCAACUGAAUGAAAUUGGAAUACUAAUUGGUGCAUGCACUGUUAACUGAUAAUUGAUAAGCUUAGGUCAUGGUAUUCAGAAAAUAAUAGUGCAUACGGAUUCUGAGGUAAUUAUUAACGUAUAAACUGAUACUGGGAUUGAAACCGAUCUGAGCUAACUUAAUCGGACGUACAACUGACCAUAUUACUGACUGAAUAAUAUUUCCUAUGGUAUAACUGAAAUCAUUCAGUAGAUUCUGGAAAACUGGACAACAACUAAAUUUUGGGUAUUCUUAAUCCCCAGGACUCAAUAACAACAAUAAUAAGAACACAUGAGAGCAUUUGAUACCAUAAUAAGUAAGAAUUAUUUAAAGAAACCCAUCACUUGGGCAUUUCAUCAUACACAUGGGUAUUAAUACUUUAACAUGUGACAAUUCACCAAACACAUUGGGAUCAUAAACUCGGACAUGGGAAUAUCUUAAACAUGGGAGAAUAACAUGAUUACAUAGCUAAAAUCAUGAAUUUAGGAAUUUACAUGAAAUAGGACAUGGGCGUUUAAUCAUACAUGUAAAUAUCAUAGCUUGAACCUAAGAAUGUCUUAAACAUGGGUGAAUAAUAGAGUUACAUGGCAAAAUUCAUAACUUGGGGAUUCAUCUUGAAAUUGAUUGAACUUGAUAUGAGAAUUUCAUCAAACAUGUGUAAAGCAUGAAUUUAAGACAUGAGAAUGUUACUAAAAAAUCAUGAAUUUAGGAUCUAUCAUGGAAUUCUCUUGAACAAAGCAUGAGAAACUCAAAUUCAUAGCAUGAGGAAUUUAAAAUCUUGCAUGGAAUCAUACAUGGGCUGAAAUUAAUUAAAAUUACCAUGAAAAAUUAUUUUGCAGAAAUUUUCACUUUUGAAGAUUCGCCACUUAAUUUUGAAAAGGAAUUAAGAAAUCUUUAUAAAGUUACUUUAAAAAAUCCAAAACAAAAAAAUCAUUCAAGUUUUGAAGAUUCUGAGUAAGGGCUUCCUAUUAAUGUUUUGGGAAGGUGUUUGACACCUAAAACGUCCGCUAACUUGCGGUUAUCCGAAUUGUAUGAAAACAUCUUUUGGUUAACUUUUAAAAAGAUUAAUUUGUUGAAAAGUGAUUGAUCUUUUAGAAAAGACUUGUGUAAAAUAGAUUUAGGCGACUUAGUAGGGAUUUUAACUAAGUCUAAAUAAAACUAAUAAAUAAAUAAAUACAUAAAAAGGGUGAAGGGAGGAGAAACUAAAGGAUUUAGACCAUUGAGCCCAAAUCAAUGAGACCUGUCCUAAUCUAGUUUUUGAGUCUCGUCCUACCUGUAUUAAAUACAACUUUGUCUUCGAGGCCCCAAAUGAAUAAAUAGUGAACUAAAAAUAACUAACUAACUAAAUAACUAAAUAAAAACGACAAUAAAUGAAUAAACAUAAGACUUUCUAAGUUUCUUAGAAGAUGAGACUUUAAUCCAUUCUCUUUCUUUCAACUUCUUGCAUUGAUACGCCAUGUCUCAUCCUAUUGAACUGUCUUCCAAAGUCUUCUAAAAAAGUGGGCCUCAAUGGCCCGUUGCGUGAUGUAAGGAAAAGAGUCAAUUUGAACUCCCAAGAGGGUUUAUGCAAAGGAAAGGGUGAAGGAAGAAUUAACAUCGACUCUAAAUUCAUAACCAACACACAGAGUGUAAAAUAAUUCACCAAUUCGGAGAGUAACAUAUAUCAACCGAAGAAUCUUAAAUUAAUAGGAGAUGACUUAAUCUCAAAACUUGUAAUCCUAACUCACUGUUAAACACUUGAACAAUUAAUAAACACUUGAACAAUUAGCGGAAACAUACAUGAUCCAAAAUUUGCUCAAAGUCAAGCCAUUUUUUUCGCAAUAAGCAAACCAAAAAUCAAUAACUAAACUAAGGUUCAAAGCAUUUUCUAGUAUAGGACAUCACUUCAACUUUAAUUUUGACGCAAAUAAAUUAGCACAAAACUUCAAAGGAAAGAAACAAAUUACUUCAAAUAAUUGUCAAGCAAUGCCUUUUACUUUUACUUUAUGCAGAUUCAUCAAUUCUUUAUUGUCCACAAUAACAAAGAAAACUAAAGAUAGACAAUAAUAUGAUAAAUUCUGAAAUAAUCUAUCAAACAAUAUCAACUAUAAGCCAAAAUACAACGUAGCAGCUACAAGAGAAAAACAUUGCAAGCAGAAACUAAGCCUUAGCACAGUGACAUCAUAUUCUCAUUCUCAAUCUAGAGAUUAAACUAUGGUUAUUUCGAAAGGAAAAUGAAAACUUGUUUUUGCACCAAAUCAGAAUCACAAAAAUACCAUAUUAAAUCAAGAUGGUAUCACCGCAGACAAUAAUUUGGCAGCAAUUCAAAUACAACAACUGAGUUAUAGACACUUUCUAACCUCUCAAGCCCUAGACCGAUUUCAAUCCAAAUCAACUAAGAGGACAUAAAAACACUUCUAACAGGAGGCGACUUAAUCCAAAUUAGUUUUGAAAUAAACCUUAACAAAUAUGCUUCUGAAAAGAGUUAAAAAAAGGGGAACAUUCAACCAUGAAGCUUUUAAAACUAAAUACAGAACCAGAACUUCAAAACAAAAAGAGUUAACAACUAGAAACACCAAUAUCACAUAAGCCCUACGACCUUCAUGGCCUCUACAGCGAACAAAUCCCAGUGCAUAAGAGAGAACUAAAUUUACUACUACAAAAAAUAAAAACGAGACAGAAUCAUGAGCGAGAAAGCAUCUAGAAGUUUACCUCUUUUGGGGCAGCAAAAUGAGAUAAUGAACUAGUUUCGAUCACCACCGGAAAUACUUUGCCGCUACUCCGAUGAUUCCGAUAAAUUUUUGAGAAUAUUUUCACUAAAAAAAGAUUUGCUUGAUGGUUUUUUUUAGCCUUCCCUCCACCUCCUCCUUUUAGCUCUAGAAGGGGCUAUUUAUAGAAAGCUUUUCGGGAUUUCCUUUUUCCUUCCAACAAUGUGGGAACCUCAAAAUUUUGGGGUAAUUUGGGGAUCUUACUUGAGGAAAAAAAAUUCAAAAUUCACCUGAGGAUAAGGUUCCCUCCUUAAUUUUUUUAAUUUGAUUCUUCUUCAUCCCAUUUGAGGUAUAACAGACAAUAAGAAUGAGGAAAAACAGAUUAUUCCCCAAGAACCAAUGAGAAACACACACCCAUGUACGAAUUCGUACAAAUUCGUUCAAGAGUGAUGAAAUUUGUACAUCGGUGGACACCUAUGUUACUUCUAGAAGAAUCUCAGCUUGAGGUUGAGAUAGGUUGACGUUGGUGUGGGUCGAUGGGUCGGAUCGCGCGAUAUUGUUACUGUUGCGAUAACUGUUUGUUGUUGAUUUUUCUGGAGGAUGUUGGAUUAUUUUUCAAUGUUGUUUGUUGUUGUUCAGCCGUUGUUGAUACUGUUAUUGUUUCCACGCUGAUCUGGUAGCUAGUGUGUGUUGUUGUUGUUUAUUGAAUAAUGAAGGACUUGGGCCAGGUCAUGGAUAAGUGGGUUGAGGCAACGAUGGGCUUGAGGGAUUGGUGUUGUUUGUUAUGUAUAUGGGAAAAUGGGUUGCUGAAAUUGUUAUUAUUUUUUGGCUGAUUUGGUUAUUUUAAUGGAUUUGGCCAAUUUUGUUUAAGUUUUGGCCAACUUAUAAAUCAAUUGUCCAAUUACAUCGCAAUUGUGGCCAAUUCGAUUUCAAAUAUGACCAAAUCUAAUCAAUUGGCUAAAUUGAAUUAAAAUUCAAAAUAAAUUAAUUCAUCGUUUAAUCUUGAGUUUCUCGAUUUAAUAAAAUCAAACAAAUAUAAAUCCAAAUAAAUUAUUUUGAUAAUAAAUUAUAUUAGAAUUAAAAUUUUAAUUAUUUGAAUUUAUUUUCAAUAUAAGCCUUGAUUAAAUUUGAUAUUUUGUAAAAUAAAUAUUUAAGUAACAAAAUUAUAAAAUUUCGUACAAUUGAAUACAAUAAUAUAUAAUCGCUACUUAGAAUGAAAAAUUUACCCAAAUAAAUACUUUGAAAAUCUUUUUAUUUAGGUAAAAUAAAUGUUGUAAUUUUAUUCAAAAAUCGAAGAAACUCGAAAAUAAAUUUUGUCGUGGAGGGCAAAAAUUAGGUGUCAACAACUGCCCCCUCCCUUUGGGUAGGGUGGAUGCAAAUAACCUUGGGCAAAAGGAGAUUGACGUUUCUAAUUUUUGUCCGACCACAAAUUCAUUUCUAAAAGAGGUUGAUUUGUGCACGAGUUUCAUAGAGUUAUGGUAGGACCUCGGUAUCAGGUUUCCUGCAUAUCUCAGGUUACAUGAGAAUUCAGGCCACCUAUAGUUCAUAAAUCUUAAUUCAAAGCACGAUUUUUUAAAAAAAUCACCAGUUAUCUUAGUUUUUAUAGUUUUUAUCGAAACCGUAAAGCUGGGGAAUAUAGGGAUUUGAGGGGAGGUUGAAAUGCUGUCGAUUUUUUAAAAUAGAGCUCAGCCUACAUAUCUUCGAGACUCAGGGAAUCAGACUGCUUGUAGUUUGACUCGAUCGGUAGAGAAGAUAGUCUUUUAUUUUGGAUGAUCUUUGACUCGGGAUGAGUGACAAAUUGAUCAAGUUGUGGAAAAGAGGCUUGUAACCUCCUAACCAUGAACGUGGAGCUCUUUACAUCCAUAUGUAAGAAUUUACCUGGACAUAAUGUCCAAAACUCUCGGUGUCCUAUCACUUGAAUAUGAAGGAAAGAGAACCCUUGGUAUGAGCUUAGAAAUAUCCUGAAGGUUAAGCUAAAACUAGAAUAUCCUGAAAUUCCCACAUGCCUUCUAACAGGGGUGUUGUUGGAUGGUGGUGGUAAUCAUCCUUUAGCUCAUGUCCAAAGAGUUUGACGUCCCUCUUUAGACUAUGUCCCAUUUUGCUGCUAAGAAAGAGUUUCAUGUUGUGCUGCGUCCUUUUUUAAAUCGUCCACACCUGUAGUUUUGAUUUGAGAUUUUUAUCCUCUUGAUGCUCUCGACAAUGCUUCAAACAAAAAGUGUUAGUGCUAAACGUGAUUCACGAAAGAGGUAUAUAG
Molecule: long non-coding RNA, 44750 nt
Filed under: Capsicum annuum
Lineage: Eukaryota; Viridiplantae; Streptophyta; Magnoliopsida; Solanales; Solanaceae
Description: long non-coding RNA (CANN_LNC001502)
Source: RNAcentral